GAGGUCAAUGGAACAUACCACUGAUAUUAAUCUUUUACUAUUUAGGGGAAUUCAUAAAUCCCGUAUUACAAGAAGCCAAGAAUUGGUUGGUUGCUCAGCACAACAUAACUGAUACAAACAAUUACUGAUACAAGCACAAGGACAAACACAAGUCACAUCAAAACAGAAAGGCUAAGCAACAAGAACACUUCCACAGAGCACUUCUCACAGGCAAAUUGCUAAACAUGCAGUGAGCAACCAUUGAUUUGGAAUGCGACUGCUUCUCCACAGAGGAUUACAACAAAUUCAGAAAGCAGCCCACACGCUCCUGAUAAGAUCCAAUCACGUUCUGAAUCUGGACAACUUGCAAAAGUUUAUAGCCAAAAAGCUGUAGCAAGUGUCAAUGCAUUCUUCAAUGAAGUAAAACCACCUACGUCGCCAAUGCGGAUUUAUGCACAAUACUGCUGCAAUUGUCAACACCAUAGUUAUGUAAAACACACCAAAGCUGGCAUAGAAACUGUCCAUGUCUAUGAAGCCACCAUCUCCAUUGAAAUCGUUAGGCACUCUUGCGGAUGGUGAUUCUGUUUUGUCGCAACUGUUUUGCAAUGGAGGUCCACAAAGAAGAGGAUUCCCUUUAUAACUGCUCUCAUCAAAGGUACCAAAUUGAUUUUUCAUCUCCAGUGUUCUUCCUGACAAAUUAUUGUACGACACGUUGAAAACUUCUAGAAAGGUCAGUUCAACGAGUUGUUCUGGAAUUCUCCCAUUCAAGGUGUUGUGAGAAAGAUCCAAGCUCUCUAUCUGCUUCAGAUUGGAGAAAGAUGGAGGGAUCAAUCCAGUGAGAUUAUUUCGCGACAGAUUUAGAGAGUAUAUCCCACUUAAGUUUCCCCAUUCUGUCGGGAUUUCUCCAGUGAAUCUGUUACAAGAAAGGUCCAUAACAGACAUGUAACGAAGGAUAUCGCCUUCGUAAGAGUAGAAAUUUUUCUUUGUUGUAAGCUCUACAGAUAUUUUUACACUGAUCUCUGGCCACAAAAUUUUGCCAUAAAGAUAAAAACCUUCGUGCUCCAAUUCUCUUUCCCCCAUGGAUGCAAAUAUUUCUUUCCGGCUUCCAUCAUCUUGUGAGUACGUACUAGUGACAACCCAAGUUUUUUCAUAUGAUGCCGUAAAAUCUAAAUUGCUCAAACAUGAGGGUAACAGACUAGAAAAAUUAUUUUCUGAAAGAUCCAAUAUGCUUAAUUUCCUUAACAAGCAUAAUUGAACAGGAAGUUCCCCAUUGAAUUGAUUAGAUUUCAAAAGAAGAAAACUCAAUUCCGAAAGUCUAUCAAUCCAAUUUGGAAUUGGCCCAGUUAAGUUGUUAUAGCCGAGAUCUAAUGUCACCAAAGAAGAGAUGUUAUAAAAAGCAUUUGGCAGUGGACCGGUCAAUCGAUUUCCGUAUAGGUGGACAUAGCGUAAAUGCGGUGCAUAAAAGCCCAACGGCAAAGACCCAGACAAAUUGUUUUCAGAAAGAUCUAAAAAUUCAAGCCUAGAAGGAUUGAAAUAUUCUUUUGGAAUGGUACCUUCAAACUGAUUUCUGGACAAAUCAAUUGCCUGAAAGGGGUAUAUUGAAGAGUUCCCAAUUCCCCUUGGAAGCAUGCCUGACAAAAGAUUGUUACUUAUAUCAAACCACAAAAAUGAUGAUGCAAGAGAAAAGGUACCAGAUACUUGUCCUGCAAAUUUGUUUCCGUCGAGAAAGAGGUACUCUAGGUGAGUCAUGUUGAACAAAGAGAGUGGUAAUCGCCCUUUGAAAUUGUUAUUGGACAGCUUUAAGGACCACAACGAGGAGCCUACUGCUGGAAAAUUAUGCUUAAGCAGUUCACAAGACAUCUGAUUGUUGGAAAGAUCAAAGUAUUCGAGAGAGCUCAUAUUCCCAAAACAAGGAGGAAUACAACCUGUGAGGCUGUUGUUAGCCAUCAUGAAGUUUUUCAAACGUGGAAAAAUCGAACAUAUGUUGCUUGCAAUUUGACCAUGUAUGUUGUUGCCAGACAUAUCUACUGUCUGAAGGUUGGGUGUUGGAUGUUGUGGCAGCUGCAAAAGACUUGUAAAUGAGGUGUCUCUCAAAUAUAGCCGAUUUAACUUUCUAUUAUUCUCAAACAGCCAAGAUGGGAAAGGUUCUCCAACGAAUUUGUUGUGGGAUAGAUCAAGAAACACCAAAUCAUGUUGGCUAUGCAGGAAGUUUGGAAAUCCAGCUCUGAGUGGUUUUGAAGUACAGUUUGAAGCACUGAAGUAACGAAGCUGGAACUUGGGAGCUGAAGGCUGAAAACUGGGUGCAGCUAUCAGCUCAUUGUUAUCGCAUGCAAUGAACUUGAGGUUGGAGAGGUUCAUAAAUGAACCAAAUGUUAUUGGAACUUGAAAGUAGUUACUUGAAACUGAGAGGUAUUCAAGCUGCGUAAGAUGGGAAAGGUGACUAGAGGCAAUAUUUCCCUCCAAUUGGUUGUCAGAUACAUCCAAGAUUUGUAGAGAUGAUAGAUUUCCAAAACAAGGAGGGAGUACGCCCUUUAGAUAGUUUCUUGAGAGAUAUAGCUUUUCAAGAUUCUUCGGUUCACACCAGCCUGCAGAAUAUAUCAAUAUGUUCAUAUAUCAAUUAUGUAAUUGCUUGGUGAGGUUUUAAAGUUUUAGUUGAUUCUUGUUUCAUUACCUAGGUCGGUUUUAGAUUAUAUUUAAACAACUUUGUUUGUUAGUUUUUUAAAAGAUUAAUUAUCUAUAUUAUUGAUAUUCAUAAUUUUUUUAAUUCAAAGUUUUUUCUAUAAUUUAAGACAGAGAAAUUUUAGAGAUUCAGAAACUCUAGAUUUUAUCCUUUUCUAUACAUAACAUUAUGAGUAAAUUUCUAGUUUAAUAAAACAUAGAUAUAACAAAAUAUCUAAUGAACAACUGUUAUUUGGAUUUCAAUACUCUUAUAAUUGUUCAUUUGUAGAAUUACCAUCCCAAUAUCCAUAUAAAUUCAAUGAAAUAUAAAUUUGUGUGUUAAUUUUUUGAUAUUAUAUCAAUAUUUUAAUAACCAAAUAUUCAUGAAUUCUAACAUAUCACAUAUAAAUUCUAACUAGUUGAUCCUUUAAUAAAAUUUUAAAAAUUGAACAAAAGUUAAUGGUUAAUACACAUCUAUUUAUUAGACAAAUUCACUAAAGAAUAAAUUAAGCCUCACUAAGGAAUGUCAUCCAAGGAAGGAAUGAUUUACAACUUUACCAUUGAGACCAGUUGAUCCUGUGAACAUAUUGUCUGAUAGAUCUAGAGAUUUGAGAGUUGAAAAUCCAUUGAGAGAUGAUAAAAUGCUGUCGUUAAAUUUAUUGUUACUUAGAUAAAGUUCCUCCAAAUUCCUCAACCCUGAAGCUAGGACUUGAAAACCUGAAAGAAAAUUGUCGGAAGCAAAGAAAUUAACAGAUAUAUAUAUCAACCAUCCCAAUAUCCAUAUAAAUUAAAUGAAAUAUAAAUUUGUGUGUUAAUUUUUUGACAUUAUAUCAAUAUUUUAAUAACCAAAUAUUCAUGAAUUCUAACAUAUCACCUCCAUUCUUUUAAUAAAAUUUUAAAAAUUGAACAAAAGUUAAUGGUUAAUACACAUCUAUUUAUUAGACAAGUUCACUCAAGAAUAAAUUAAACCUCACUAGGGAACGUCAUUUGAGGUAGGAAUGAUUUACAACUUUACCAUUGAAACCAGUUGAUUCUGUGAAUCUAUUGUUUGAUAAAUCUAGAGAUUUGAGAGUUGAAAAUCCACUGAGAGAUGAUAAAACACUGUUGUUCAAUUUAUUGUCACUUAGAUAAAGUUCCUCCAAUUUCCUCAACCCUAAAGCUAGGACUUGAAAACCUGAAAGAAGAUUGUCAGAAGCAAAGACAAUUAAAAGAUUUAUAUAUCAACCAUUUCAAUAUCCAUAAAGAUUCAAUGUAAAGUUACUUGAAACAUAACUAACUUUAUGUGUUAACUAAAAAAAAAUUGAAAGCAUAGAACCUUGGUUCUUUAAGCCACCAACUAAUUGGUUGCCGCUUAAGUCGAGAAUCUCCAGUUCUUUGAAAGGCAGAAACAAAGGUGCAUUGAGAUCCAAGUCUUCGACUGCAUCAUAAUUUACAUAUGAAAGAUGUAGUUCGAUCACUCGGUUUGUGGUGUUGUCACACACAACCCUAUAAUAAUCCCAGUUACAGCAAUUAAAGUGCUCUUUAUCCCAACGUUCUAGCGGAUCAUAGGACCCAGCUGCACGUGCAUGAUAGAACCAAGCUUUUAUCUCUAAGAGACUAACUCUCUCUUCCUCCACACAACAAUGGCUCCGGUCGUUGAGGAAGGCCAGUGCCAUGAGCAGCAUCCACACCCACAUUUGCCUCAUCUUCAUAUUAACGCUCCUACUUGACAAAAUACAAAAGCAAGCAAGCUGUCUCUUAUAUACAAAUUAAUUUGUCCUCUUCAUUUGAUCGGACUUAAUUAUCUGUAUCAUUGAAUUUUCUAUGCUGAAUUAAUUAUCCAAGGGAGACUUGGGCUGAAUUGAAUGGGAGAAUCUUCACGGACAGAUCCAGGGGCCCGCACCACGGCACAGAUCGCUCGGUUUGUGGUGUUGGAUUAAAGGAUAUUAAUUCCAACUUCUUGUUUACUGCUUUACUUUUCUUCAUAGACUUGGGAAGUCAGGUGCUGUAUAUGAACAAUUGAUUUGAUCUUAUGAAAUACACGGCAGAAGAGAUUAGAAAAUGACUUCUAUUAUCAAUAAUUUCUUCUUACUGCACCUACUGAUUUUUAUUUCUUUUGAAAUAUUUAGAAUAUCUCUUUUGAAAUAUCAAUAUCGCCUACCCCACUUCCUUCAUUUUUGUUAACGGAGUGAAAUGAUUUCAACACGUGUCCAUGCAUCUGCCAGCUACCCUAAUUAAUCUGCACUAACAGUGACCAUAACAGCUGUAACAAUACUCCCUCAAUACUUGUAACAUCAUCCUAAUAUAUAUAUAAUAGAUUGGAAGCAUGCAUGGGUUUCUUACAUGAUUAACUAAACUUAAUCUUGUAAUAUUGAAUUAUUUGAUGAAAACAUUAUCUAAAACAAGAUUAAUUGAUAUAUUUAAAGUCAAAUAAAAAACAAACCCUGCUUAUUUUUAAUAUUAAAAAUUAUUUCUAACAUAAAUUUUUAACAUAAUAAUUUAUCAAAAUUAAAAUAAAUUAGAAUCACCGUUUGAGCAAUUGAUUUGAUCUUGGGCCCACAAUUAUUUUCAUUAGCCUGUUAAUAUUUUUCUUCAAGCUUGUGGAACAGGUUGUUCCUUUAGGCUACUUUGCUUCUUCUUUUUUUUCUUCUUAGACUUGGGAAGUUAUUUGUUUGAACAUUUAAUUUAAGUUUUUAUGGUUGUUUGUUUUUGUGUUUUAAAAGUAUUUUUAAAUAAAUUUUAAAUUUUUUAAUUUUUUUAUUAACUUCAAAUUAAUAUAUUUUUAGUGUUUUCAAAUCAUUUUGAUAUGCUAAUGUCAAAAAUAAUUUUUAAAAAAUAAAAAAAUAUUAUUAAUAUAUAUUUUAACAUAAAAAAUUAUUUAAAAAACAAUAAUAUAAUCUCAUCAUCCAAUAUCGCUUGUUUUUAUUCUUCGUAGACAUGUGAAGUAAAGAUUCCCAAUUAUCCACUGCAUCAAUCUCUAUCCCAUCAAAAUGAAUUUGGUGCAAGAAAAAAAUAUCUAAUAUAUGUGAUUUACUCAUUAUGCAUAUUUAAGAUUGCUAAAGGAAAAUAUUUAGUUUAAUUUCACAUAUAAGCUAAUUCGAUAACACUUUUUAAUAUAAAACCAAAAAAAAAAAGAGUGCUAUCGUCAUCAACUUUAUUUGGUUUCAAUUUAUGACGUUUGACAUAUAAAUUCUGUUCAAUUUAAAUCAACUUUUCAAUAAAUAGUGAAUGUUAAUGAGCACAGUAGCGAGAACUAAGCAGUGUUAUGUGUACUUGGAACCAAGGUUGUUAAAAUCGUGUUUUGACUCGUAAAAUCGUACGAUUUUACGAGUCAAAACAUGUAUUACGGGUUGAAUCGCUUGAAAAAAUCAAAAAUAGCUAAAAUCGGGUUGAAAUCGAGUGAAAUCGCGAUUUCAGGACCGAUUUUGCGAUUUUGACAAAAUAAGGCCCUGAAACAAAAUCCUCCCUCCUGGAUAGCUGUCAUGCCUAUUGGAUUAUUCCUGCACAGUCUUACUCAUACACAACGUUUCAUGUCUUCCUUAGCUCUCGUGUCUAGCGUGAAUAGGAAGGUCCCCGUGUUGGUCAAGCAGGAAUGUCUGGAACUAGUUGCUAUGUGUAAUAAAAAAAACUUUGGCAGGAUAUGAACAGAAUGAAGAAUUACAAAGAUGAAAUCUCUCUCUCUCUCUCUCCCCUUCCUUCUUCUUAUCUCUUUCACCAUUCAUGCUGCAACCCUCCUGUUGAUUUCUGGAAAUGGUUCAGAACCAUUCCAUCGCAUUCAAUUCCCCUGGAUAUAUUUCUGGAAAUGUAAUUUUUAAUCUAUUAAUUUUUUUUAUAAAACAUAUUAACCGAAUAUUAUUUCAAUUUCACUCGAGUUUUAUGGUAGAAACUGGUGAAGUGUGUGUAUAACACCUGACAAUAUUUUAAGAUGCUUGAACUAUAUAUGAAUUUUUAUUUGAAGGCUUGAAAUAUGUAUGAAAUUUUAUUUGAAACAUGUUUUUUAAUGUGCUUGAACUAUGUAUGAAUUUUUAUUUGAAACAUGAAUUUUUUUUAAUGUAUUUCAAAAUUCCUUACGAUUUUACGAGCCGUUUUUACAAUCCGAUUUUGUGAAGGGCUUUCCGUUUCGUUCUAAAAUCGCGAUUUUAACAAUCUUACUUGGGACUGUGAAUAAUGUACACUUUAGCUCUCUUCAUACAGUCAAUUGACUUUGACACAGUAAAAAUGAAAAAAAAAUUACUCCGUCGAUUGGUGAUUAAACUACAAUACUAAAUAUACCAACUCUGUGGAUUUGUGAUUAAACUUGGAAAAAAACAACAAUACUAAAAAAAGCCAUAUGUGAAUUUGUGAUUAAGAAAAUUCAUUAUUUUAUUUUUUGACAUAUUAGGUUCCACUAGAUGCACCCAGUCAAUGUGAGUGGUUGUCUUUUUUAUUAUUUAUGAGGAUCCAAUUGAUGCAUCAAGUCUAGGGCUCCACAAUCACUGUCACUAGUCAAUUCCGCCAACUUGUUGCGUAAACUACUUUGCUUUCUCUUCAUAUAUAGACAUGGAAAUCAUGUGGAAUCAAAAAAUUUAUUCCUUAACCUUUUUCAUGGAAUGAAGUGAUUUCCCAGUAGCAUCAUCAUCCACUUGCACUUUUUUUUUCUUCGUAGACUUGAGAAGUCGGUCAAGAUUCCCAAUAUAUUAUCAACAUCAUCAAUUUAAAAAAGAAAUAUAUGUUAGGUUGAUUUAUAUGUUAGGCUGAUUUACUUCCAUAUUAAUUAUUGUUUGAAUAUUCUUAAUCCGAAUGAUAUUAGUCCAUUCAAAACAAAUUCAUUUUCUUUUUUUAUAAAUAUAUUUAUAUAACUACCAAAGAAGAAAAUGCAUUGAUUAAAAUAUUAUUAAUCUGUUUGAAUGAAGAAAGUUAAGGCAGAGAUGACCAACCUAAACACCGUGUGGGCCAAUAAAAUUGAAAACAAAAGAUAAUAUCAAUGGCUUGCAAAAAAAAAGGGUUUGUGUUAAAUUUAUCUAUAUGUUAAAUUACUUGAUUUACUAAACUUAAUCAUGUAAUAUUGAAUUAUUUGAUGAAAACAUUAUCUAAAACAUGAUUAAUUGACAUAUUUAAAGUCAAAUAAAAAACAAAUCCUGCUUACUUUUAAUAUUAAAAAUUAUUUUUUAAUCUAAACUCUUUAGCAUGAAAAUUUAACAAAAUUAAAAUAAAUUAUGAUUACUAUUUGAGCGAUUGAUUUGAUCUUCGGCCCCACAAUUAUUUUUGUUAGUCUGUGAAUGUUUUUCUUCAAGCUUGUGAAACUGGAUAUUCCUCUGUAAUGUAAGUUCCUUUGUUUUUUUUCUUCGUAGACUUGAAAAGUCAUUUGUUCGAACAUUUGAUUUUCUGAUAAGUCAAUCAUCCACUGCAUCAAUCUCUAUCCCAUUGUUAGUCUGUGAAUUUUCUAUGCUGAAUUAUCCAAGGGAGACUUGGGCUUCAUUGAAUGAGAGAGUCUUCACGGCACAGAUCGCUCGGUUUGUGGUGUUGGAUUAAAGGAUAUUCCAACUUCUUGUUUACUGCUUUGCUUUUCUCCGUAGACUUGGGAAGUCAAGAUUCCUAUAAUCCACAUCAUCAAAAAAACCCAAAUCGAUAAUGUGGUGUUGGAUUAAAGGAUAUUAAUUCCAACGUCUUGUUUACUGCUUUACUUUUCUUCAUAGACUUGGGAAGUCAGGUGCUGUAUAUGAACAAUUGAUUUGAUCUUAUGAAAUACAUGGCAGAAGAGAUUAGAAAAUGAUUAACAGAUAUAUACAUCUCAACCAUACCAAUAUCCAUAAAGAUUCAAUGUAAAGUUACUUGAAAUAUAAUUAACUUUAUGUGUUAACUAAAAGAAAAUUGAAAGCAUAGAACCUUGGUUCUUUAAGCCACCAACUAAUUGGUUGUCGCUUAAGUCGAGAAUCUCCAGUUCUUUGAAAGGCAGAAACAAAGACGCAUUGAGAUACAAGUCUUCGACUGCAUUGAGAACAUCAUAAUUUACGCUAUAAAGAUUUAGUUCGAUCACUCGGUUUGUGGUGUUGUCACACACAACCAAAUCCCAGUUACAGCAAUUAAAAUGCUCUUUAUCCCAACCUUCUAGCUGAUGGGACCCAGGUGCACCUGCAUGAUUGAACCAAGCUUUUAUCUCUAAGAGACUAACUCUCUCUUCCUCCACACAACAAUGGCUCCGGUCGUUGACGAAGGACAGUGCCAUGAGCAGCAUCCACACCCACAUUUGCCUCAUCUUCAUAUUAACGCUCCUACUUGACAAAAUACAAAAGCAAGCAAGCUAUCUCUUAUAUACAAUUUUGUCCUCUUCAUGCAUUUGAUCGGACAGUGACAAUUAUCUGUAUCAUUGAAUUUUCUAUGCUGAAUUAAUUAUCCAAGGGAGACGUGGGCUUCAUUGAAUGAGAGAGUCUUCACGGCACAGAUCGCUCGGUUUGUGGUGUUGGAUUAAAGGAUAUUCCAACUUCUUGUUUACUGCUUUGCUUUUCUCCAUAGACUUGGGAAGUCAAGAUUCCUAUAAUCCACAUCAUCAAAAUGAAUGUGAUCGAAGAAAGGAAAAAAUGAAAAAAAAAAAAAAACAUUAACAGUGGCUUACAAAAAAUAAAUAAAUAAAUAAAACCAUCAAUUACGAGCUUCAUAAGAUAAUUUUAGCUUAAAAAAACCCAAAUCGAUAAUGUUUUCUUUAACAUUGGUAUCCGUUUAAUCAAUCUUCUGGUUUGAUCCUUGAUAGUGCUGUGUUUUGAUGCUUGUCGAUUAGCCACAAUAAUGUUAAAUUUACAAGGACAGAUCCAAGAAAAGCAAUGCAGGCCUGUUUUGGUCUCUGGGAGUCCCCUGAUAAAGGCUGCAACUAUUGCUUGAACCCUUGUAAAGGGGCCUUUACACAUGCGGUCCACUGAGAAGUACAACACCGUUCUUUAUUUAAUUCUUAUGGUUUAAAUCUACUAAUAACUUAGUCAUUUUGCAUGCUAUUUUUCCACUUGUUUUGUAAAAUAGAGAAAAGAACUGUUAAGCAUGCUGGAUAUUUCGCAUAAUAAGCUCCGGGUCCUUUAUCCUCUUGUUUGUCCAAUUUAACUUUCAUGGCAAACGAUGCAAAAUGCUAUGUAUCUUUUACUUGGCCUAGUAUUCAAUAUUUUGAUCAGUCAAAUCUUGUACUCAUGGGUUUGCCUCAAGUAGGCGAUUCUUAUCGGGAAAAUAAGUACACAAACAACAUUGCAGAUUAAUCUGUCGAGUUCUCAACAAAAAGACAGUCAUACUCCUAUCGAGAUGUGACGCGGAACAAUAAGUAAAAAGAAUUAAAGCAAGAAAAGAAAGAAGCUUUAAAGAAGAAAGAAGCUAAAGAAGAGGAGGAGAGGGGUUGGAGAUGUGCAAAUCUGCAAUUUUCAUUCAUUCAAAAAAUGUCUUCCCAAAUGACAAAGAGCAUAUAAAUAGUCUCAACCUAGAACAUCCUGCUAUUGGGCUUGGCCCAUCAAACCAAAUUGUUUAACAUAAAUAAUAAAAAUAACAAUGAGCAAGCCCAAAUGGGCUAAAUAAAUAAAAUUACAAUGAGAUAGGCCCAAUGGGCUUAGUCUCCCAACCAAAGCGUGACAGGCUGGGCCAUCCUACGUCGUCUCCGUCCAUAUACUCGUGUAAUCUGUGGCGUGGGCCUGGUGUCCUCACCAACUCUCCUGGGGUUAGAGAAACUCGACCUUGUCGAGCGUAGCAGUGGCCGACUCUGAUAGUACUCCCAAAGAUCUGGGUCAAGCUGCUGCAAAGUAUCUCUAGUAAUCCAAGUGCAGUCUGAGUCGGGUCGACCCACCCAGCGAACUAGAAACCGCUGAAUCUCACCAUUCCUAUUAAAAACAACUUGUUCAUCCAGAAUAGCAUCAAUAUUAUCCUUUUGUGCUGAUGUCAAAGUAAAAAGGGAUAGGGGUUUAUUAGGAUCAUCAGGAGGGGGUUAAGUGGUGUUCAAUGGGUCAUUUGGAAUAGGAAGUGGUUUGUGGUAUGCAACUAGAUCCUCAAUGUUAAAUGUAGAGCUAAUGCCAAAAUCAUGUGGUAAAUCAAGAACAUAAGCAUUUGGACCAACCCGUUGUAGCACUUUGAAAGGCCCGCACUACGUGCAUGCAAUUUUCGAUUAGCUCCCGAAGGAAACCGUUCGGGUCUAAUCCGUUAUCAUAGUCUCCAACAUUAAACUCAUUAUGUCGUCUAUGUGCAUCAGCUUGAAGUUUAUAUUGCGCAUUACUUGCUUGAAUUUGUUUAGUGAUCUCAAUAUGCAAAUCCUGAAUUCUACGUGCAAAAGACUCGGCUGACUCAGACACUCUAGCAUGAAGGGACAUGGGAAGAAGAUCUAAAGGUUUCCUAGGCUUGUAACCAUGUACAACUUCAAAGGGACUCAUGCCUAUUGACCUAUUGAUGAGCUAUUAUAGGCAAACUGGGCUAGGAAGAAUCAGAUCCCAAUUCCGAUUAUGAUCACUCACUAGACACCUUAAAAGGUUACCCAAACUCCUGUUAACCACCUCAGUUUGACCAUCAGUUUGGGGUGGUAAGCAGUAGAAAACUUCAAUUUGGUUCCCACCAUAUGCCAAAGGGUUUUCCAGAAAUAACUUGUAAAUCUAACAUCCCUAUCUGAAACUAUGGUUUGGGGAAGGCCGUACAACUUGACAAUCUCGUCAAAAUAGAGUUUUGCGACUCUGGAAGCAUCUGUGGUCUUAGUACAAGGAAUAAAAUGGGCCAUCUUAGAGAAGCGGUCGACAACCACAAAAAUAGAAUCAUGUUUCUUUGCAGUACGUGGAAGCCCAAGCACAAAAUCCAUGCUUACAUCUUGCCAAGGGCAAGUAGGCACGGGUAAUGGAGUGUAAAGACCAGUAUUUUGUUUUCUAUGCUUAGCGAGUUGGCAAGUUCGACACUGACCUACUAAUUUGGCGACAUCUCUUUUCAAACUAGACCAAAAAAACUGACGUUCCACUUCUUCGAUGGUUUUAUUCCUUCCAAAAUGUCCUGAGAGACCUCCAACAUGAAUCUCCCAUAUCAAAAAAUCACGCACAGAUGUUUUCAGGAUACAAAGCUUAUUAUCUCGAAAUAGGUAUCCAUCUUGGAGGUGAUAACCAUUUAUAACACGGUGAUGCGCAUCCUUCAAUGUCAAGUAUAUUUCUCCAAAUUCUAGGCAAGAUUCAUACUCCUCCUUAAGUCUCUCAAAUCCUGUGACUCCAACACUCAUUACAGAUAACAACGUCACCCGACGACUCAAAGCAUCUGCAGCCUUAUUCUCUAUUCCAGAUUUAUGUUUCAAAACAAAUGAGUAUGCUUGCAAAUAUUCAACCCAAUGACCAUGCCUAUUGUCGCACCCUAAAAAAAAUCAGCUCGCGGCAUCGGCUGGCGAUUUUUCUCGUUUGUUUGUCGUUGCUUGAAUUUGGUUCGUUGGAGUCGCCACCUAGUAAUUGAUUGCGGGCUACUAGGAAACCGGCUGUACUGGUCUUGUCAGAGAUUCGUGGGUACGGGACUGGUUGUGGUUAGGGAAGGUAUUAGCACCCCUAACACACCCUACCUGAGGUAAGCUGCUUCGCGAAUUUGAUGUAUUAAAGAAGUUUUAAUAAUUGUCUUUUCAUCAGAAAUUAGAAAUAUCACUUACGUAUAAGUUAAUAAUUCUUAACCAAGAUCCGAUCAAAAUAUUAAAUUCUUCUUUAAUAUAUUUGCAAUUUUAUCAUUAAAAAAUAUAUACAAAUAAAUAAAAACAAAAUACAAACACACACGUACACUUCCACUAUUUUUGUUUCUUUUCUUUUUUUCUUUUCUUUUCUUUUACAUCCAUAUUUACAAAACAAAUAGACAAUCCAAAAAAAAAUAAAAAAAAAAUACAUCAAACAAUUUAAAAUUACAAAACAGCCCCUAAAACAUCCUAAGGCUUCUAGAACAUGCAGGAACAGUGCACGAGAACAGUGCUGGGAGGCUUCUGGUGCAGAGAAUCAGUUGAUGCUUGCCAUUUGUUCUCAGUUAUACUAAGAAAGAAUGAACCGCGACUCUGUCCACCAUUCUCUCCUGUGCAUGAACAAAUCAGUGAAGGAAUAUUUGCAGUGAUAAAUAUGUUAAUGGUUUCCUGACUUCAUUAGAAUAUUUUGCUCCCAUUUUCUUUGCUCCAUGAACUGAAUAUAUAUUGCAACAUAAUUGUGGUGUUGUCAAUCACGGCAAUUAUGCACAUAAAUCCUUACUGGCGCCGCAGGUGGUUUUACUUCAUUGAAGAAUCGCAACUAUUAUGCUGCUGUUUUCUAGCGGUUAGUUUCCGUAAGCUGUCCAACAUCAUGUCAUCGAACCUCUGUAUAAUCAUUCAAUUAGAUGACACAUUUAAAAAUUUUAAAAACUAAUAAUACUAUAACUAUGAAGAACACCUAAAAUAUUUAAUUUUAUUCUUCCAAGUCUCUGCUAAACUAAUUAUACACAAUUGUGGUACUAGCAAUUGCGGCAGUUUUGUACAUAAACCCAUAUUGGCGACAUAGGUGGUUUUACUUCAUAGAAGAGUGCAUGGAGACUUGCUACUACUUUGAAUUGCAUACAUUUCAUAAGCUAUCCUCCUUCAUAAGGCCAUAGGGUCUGACGCGUGCCUUUUGUUUUUUCAUAUUUUUUAGUUUGAACUAAUAAAACCUUUACUUUUUUUCAAGCUUCAGUUAAUUUUAUUGCAGUUUCUCAAAUGAAUUCUACAAAUUCAAGAUAUAUAUGCAUCCUUAAUGCCAUAUUAAAGAGAAUAUAUAGAUAGGAAGAAGAGGAGCUUUACGUGAUAUGGAUAGCGAGAUGCUCCUAAGCCUAGAACCAGCUAAAACUUAAUAUUAUGAUGAAUAAUUCAGCAAAACUUAAUUCAAUUUCAACUUCCAUUCUCAUCAUUAGUACAAAAUGCAGAGUCAGAUUGAAAGGAAAAUGAUUGGAACUUGAAAUUCAGGUAACAAUACAUCUAGCAGAGCUUCCUCCUUACCCUCUCCCUAUUGUAUCUUCUUCGAGUGGAACUCUUAGCUUUUUGCCCUCCAAGAUAAAUGUUCUCAUCUUUCUCCAGUACUCUCUGAUAACUCAGAGAGCAGCCGCCCUGUAUAUUCCCUUUUUUUUUUAUUAUUAUUCAAAACGUUAUAGAGAAGUUCUUUUACAGAGAAACCCUUUUUAAGAUAACCAUCUAGAUAAAUAACAUUAAUCCCAUAUAUAUCAGGAUAUAUACAAUUACAAAAUAUUAAAAUAUAAUUUUUAUUUUAAAUUUUACAGCUCACGCUAACAUUAAUUCCUAAACAGUACAGCUCACGCUAACACUCUCUUUUCCAUCCAGCAUAAGCAGUCACAACUUACCUCCACGGAAAACUUUAUAGCCAACUUCAACCAAUAUUUAAAAGGAAUUUUGUCCUAUGUUUGAUAAGCAAAAUCAACAGAACCUGUCGUUGACUUUCUAGCUCAAAUUUAGCAGUAGCCAUUUUAAGGAGCAGAAACAAACACUGUACUUUUAUCAUCACGAAAAUCUGGUUGAUUUAUUAUCACGAAAAUCGAAAAUCUAGUUGAUUUAUCAUUACGAAAAUCUAGUUAAAACAAAUUAAUAUGAAAUCAAAUCGAGGAUGAAAGGUUGAUUUUGAGAUCAAGAAUAGCAUGUAUUAAAAAGAUAAUAAAUAAAAUUAGAGUAAUAACAUUGAUACAACUUAUCAUUAAAUUUCAUUUGCAAUUUCCUCUCGAUUUUCUGUAGUUCUGUAGAGACAUAGAUUAGUUGGUUCUUACGGGAAUUUUUCUUCCUUAAUUUCACUCCCAUUUCCCAAACGAUGGAAUUCAUACAACCUUUCGAUUUUAUUUCCACGUAAAAUCCAUUCUUCUCUAUCAAACAGAACAUAAUAAUGGGCCAUAUUUUAAUUUAAAUAUAUUUUUCCUAAUAUUUAAAGUUUUUUUACUGGGAAAAUAUCAUGGGGAUUUGAGAGAAAAGACAAUAGAUAAGAAAGGACAAGAAAAAAAGUGAGAGAAAAUGAUGGUGGGUCUUCAUUCUUCAGGGACCGUAUUGGAACUCUUUGGAGGCAUGCGUGAGAGGUGAAAUGGGAAAGUAUAGGGAACAAAGUGUAAUGUCAAUGAAUAUAUAGGGCUUAAAAUGCAAUUUACCCUUAAUUUUUUCGUGGAUGACGCAGUCACAAGGAGAGGAUAGAUGUCAUUUCUGAAAUGAUAAGACAGAAGUGACAAUAAGUAAAAUUUCGUAAAUCAUCAUCAAUCAAAAAUCAUGACGUGGGGACAAAUCACAUAAUUGAUUGAUUUUACAACCCUUUAAAACAAACUCAUCAAAAUAUUUAAUCCAAAUUCUGAAUAAACAACAAUAUCUAAUGUAGAUAGGUUUGAAUAAUUUGAUGAUUAUUAAUAGUCAAUUGUAGAUUUAUCACAAUUAGAUCAUAUAUAUAAAACCCAAUAAACUCAUAAUACGAACAAAUAUAACUGGGCUAACUUAAGAAAAAAAUACAUUGGUGCAAAAUGACUAGUCUAACUAAAAAAGUUUAAAUUUUAAUUUGACCUCAUGGAAAUCAUUCUCAAAUUUAAUUAGGAGAUUUUAUGGUUUCUAUUCUAUAAAGGGUGUGUGUAGGCUUGAAAGAAGUUAUGCGUGCCAAUUUCGUUAUUUUUUUAAUCUUUUUACAAUUCUAGUUUAAUUUUGGAUUUUAUAUUGUAAGAACCUAUAUCAUAUCAAGAUUAAAUUUCAGUAAAAAAAAAUAUUAGAAUUCUAGUUGUGGAGAGUUUUUUUAUAUAUAGAAUUACGUUUUUCUUUGAGCUUGUUUUUUUCUUAACCGGAUCAACUACAUCAAUCUCCUAAAAAAACGAAAAAAAAAAAAGUUGGGAAUGAAAACUUAAGUGAAAUUUAACAGUCUGCAACAACAAUCCUUUACCGUCCACCAUGAAAUGAUCAACAGGUUUUUUUUAAGGACAAUAUAAAUUCUGAAAGAGCGUAGACAUGAAUGACAGCCAAGAACCACCCAACAGCCAUGCAGGGUCUAGUCUGCAUGGCAAAGGUCCCCUCAAUCGCUGAAUCCACAUGAACACAGUCUAAUGAACUGCUAACAUGCAUUUGGUUGUGGUAAUUCAAUUAUGCGAAGGGUGUCGGUCCGAAUUCUUCAACUUAAACGAACAUGUUUGCGUAAUUAAGUGUUCAAUCACGUACUUAAUUUGCUAUUGAAAACAUUUAGAAUUUAUCAACAAUUUAAUUAAGCAGGUGUAUACAACCUCCCAACAUUUGUAGAUAUCAUUGAAUCAUUAGUUAACACCAAGUAGACUGAGAUCGGAUCAAAAUGUGUCACUUAAGCUCUUAAUAUUACAGAAAACUUACAAUUGCCCUGAUGGUUAAUUAGCACAAAAGACCGGCUUGGAGUUCAGACUAGCCAAAUUGCCCAACUCUUUAAGCCUGAAUUUUAUCACCAUCAUAAAAUGGGAAAAUUAGUUUAGAUAUACAAGGCGAAAUGGAAUUAAUUACCUAACAAUUUGAACUUCAGAUUGGUCAUGCAUGACCACUUGCAGGUCCUCCUAGUGUUAGAACCACACCUUGAAGAUCACUUCUUGGAUCUGAUUCUUUGGCUAAUGAUGGAGCAGCUCUGAUUACCGGAUAUGUUCUGGUCACUUGAGUUUGUCGAGAACUAUGACUGGAUUGUCCUGAGAAUGUUUUUGGAUGAUGAGAAGGCUUCAAGGUAUCAGUAUGAAAUUCAUUCGAAGCACCACCCAGAAACCAGUGCUCAAAAAGCCCCUUUAUAAAGAUAACUAACAGAGAAGGUCACAGACAGCAGAGGAGGUCAGCAUCACCAUCGAUUUCCUUUCUCCAGAAGCAGGGGUUUACCACCACAUCAACACCCAUCUUCCCCGAUCUCUUCAUCUCCUUUAGCACUGAAGAGAAACCGAACGGUGGAGCAGAGAACACAGACAGCAGAGGAGGUCAGCAUCACCAUCGAUUUCCUUUCUCCAGAAGCAGGGGUCUACCGCCACAUCAACACCCAUCUUCCCCGAUCUCUUCAUCUCCUUUAGCUCUGAAGCUUCCUCCAGCAGUGGCCAACACACGGCAGCCCCUACAAAACCAAAAUGAGAUAAAUCUCAAAGAGAAAGAAAGACUCGAACUUGUGUAGCAGAUCUGGACCGAGAUCCAGCCGCCAUCAGCUCUGGCGAUGCCUAACAACCAGAUGUGCUACAGGGAUGAACUCUCGGGCAACAAACAGUGAUAGACUCGAAAGAAGCCAAUCUAAAGGAGGAGAAGGAAAAAAACGCAGAUCUGUGAAAAAAAGACAAUAAUCGAAACUCAAUUAAGAAGAAAUCAUCGCACAAACAAUCUCCCGGACCGGUUGUUGAUUUGGAUCCUUUCCCAAUUGAGGAUGGAAGACUACGGGAAAGAGGAGAUUGGUUGGGGUGGGGAUUGAAGCUGUGAUUUGGGAUCGGUUCAGUUUAUCAAGCAGACUUCAAGAGGUAAGACCCUAUACAAUAACAGUAACAACAAAGAGAACUUUUCAACCCAGCCAUGGAGGGGAAAGCUCUCUCUCAAAAAGCCCAGCCACCGUUCCAGACAAACUUAAUUCCUUCUCACAAACACAAAAAAGAACUUGACCUUCCAUACAAGCCAUAUUACCCCCAGCCUCAGCUACCAUCCAUCACCUUAAACACUCAGACUUCAACAAACUACCGUGAUUUUCAACUACAAUGUUACUUUGAAAACUUCCUAAGUUGGGUCGAUUACCAUAAGCUUAAAGACUGCUUCAGAAAACAGGGGAAAGUUAUUAAGCUGUUUGUUUCUCGAAAAACAAAUCAAGCAGGAAAGCAUUUUGGCUUCGUCACCAUCCUCUCGAAUCUGUCAGACAAAACUCUGCUAGAAUGCUUAAAUGACAUAUGGUUUGAUUCCUACAAGCUGAGAGUUAAUGUGGCUAAGCACAGAAGAAAAGAUGUAGUGACGAAACAGAAAAUAAUGGGAACCGGGAAACAAAUACCCAAGCUCAACAACAAAGCCAAGGCCCCCAUCCGUGUAAGAGACAACCGAAGCUAUCUUGAGGCAGUAAGAUCAGGGAGUCAAGUGCAUCAAGCGUCUGAUAAUGCCACACCACGUCAUCAUAACUUCAUUUCUUUCAACACUACAGAUGAGGAAAUUCUAUGGUUAAGAAAUAGUCUUAUAGGCAAGAUAUCUCAGGGAGUAGAUUAUGCACAAAUCAGACAUGGAUUAAUUCAGCUAGGCAUUUGCUUCUCUGCUUUCCGUUUCCUAGGGGGAUCACAGGCAAUCAUAAGCUUUGAUGGUGAGAAAUCUAUGCAACAAGCCAUGCAGAAAGGUAUGGAAUGCUGGAGGCUCUACUUUGAUGAAGUUCACCCGUGGACUGAAGAAGAUGUGACAGAGAGUCGUCUAGCAUGGAUCUCUAUCUCUCAUUUGCCUAUCUCUGGCUGGAGUUUGAGAUGUAUCUCAAACCUUCUCAUGAACCGUGGACGGGUGAUAGGUUUUGACAAAACCAGCCUAAAAAUCUCUGAACUUCACAGUGUGAAAAUCCUUAUAGGUACUCACUUGCCGGAGAUCCACGACUCUAUAGCUCUCAUGCUAAACUCCAAGUUAGUACACAUAUAGCUGGAUGAGAUUGACCUUUUAAGAUAUCCAGAGGCAAAAGGAAUUUCAUACUCGAUGGCAGAAUUUCAAACCACAUUACUUCAGGGAGAUAGUGCUGACAGUGACUCAGAUGAUGAAGUGUACACUGAUCUUGCUUUUGACUUGGCAGGAGAUGACAACAUUUGCAGGCUAGGUAUCACUGAUAAGAAUUGUGGAUCUGAUGACAAGGGACACACGAUGGAGGUAAGGAAGCACAACCCAUAUGGGACACAUGAGGUGUACGAUCAUAGCUUUGCGUCCACAAUAAAUGCCAUUGACAACACAGAACGGCUACAUAUCGUUGUUGACGAUCUCUUUUACGAUGUGAAUUCAGCAAGCCCACUAGAGCAUCCAAGCAUGGCUUUCAAAAGAGACUCCUUCUUGCCACAACCUUAUACCCCUGUUAGCAGUGAUGAUUCUUUAGAAUCCCACUUCAAAAUCCAAAGCCUACCUCUUACAUCUAACCAACAACAGACCCCAACAGCCAAACAACCAAGACUAAAGAAAAUAUCCUCUACUAGGAGUCUCCUCUCCUUGCACUCUUCAGCAAGCAUGUCUUCUAUAGACUCUUACAUCAGGGUGAAUAAUACCCGUAACCUGAAAGAAUAUGCAGCGGAAUCGUCCCACAAUGAAGUCAACAAAAUGAUCCGUUUGGGAGAAGCUUUGGGUCUUGGUAAUUCAGCUCUCUUGGAACAAUUUUCUGGUCUUAUCAUAAGACAGCUAGAAAAGGAGAAGGAAGAUUGGCAGAAACAACAAUGAAUAGUAAGUUUUCAUCCCCUGCAGAUAGGCCUUUUAAUUCUGUCAUGAAUAUUCUUUCUUGGAAUUCCUGUGGCUUGGGCAUGAUGAGGAAACGAAGAAGAAUCACGAAAUUAAUAGCAGAAUAUAAGAUUGAUAUAUGUUUCAUGCUGGAAACUAAGCUAGCUAAUUGUUCCAUUGGUUUUGUAUCUCGUAUUUGGAAUGAAAAUCAUGUGAGUUGGUUUAGUAAUGAUGCUCAAGGAUCAAAAGGAGGUCUGCUUGCUAUGUGGAAAAACACUAACUUUGAAGUCUCUAAUAUUGAAUAUGGUCAUGGUUGGAUCGGUUUAUAUGGUAAACAUGUUCACAGUGAUUUUCAUUGCUUUGUUAUUGGCAUCUAUGCUCCUUGUAACUAUCAGGACAGACAAAAACUUUGGGAGGAUCUCAUUCUUCUGAAGCAUGCUUUUGAAGUUCCAUGGAUAAUAGCAGGAGAUUUUAAUGAAACGCUCUCUCAGAAAGACAGAAACAGUGGAAUUUGUCAUCCUGCAGGCUCAAAUUCUUUUAGCAGAUUCCUGCAGUCUUGUGAGCUCACUGAAUACCCUUUAGCAGAAGGUUAUUUUACCUGGUUUAGAGGAAGGUCCAAGAGCAAACUAGAUCGAAUGUUCGCAAGCUCAACCUACCAUCUUCACUUCCCCAGUUUAUCUCUUCGACGACUUCCAAGAGAGUUCUCAGAUCAUUGCCCUCUAAUUCUAUGUAGCUUCUUGCAAGACCAUGGAUGGCGUCCUUUUCGUUUCUUGGACUGUUGGACUCAAUACCCAAAUUUCAAGCACAUUAUUGAAAGCUUCUGGAAUGAUGCAUGCUCCCUUCACCCUGGCCGCUUUAAAUUUCUCAAAAAGCUUAAUCAUAUUGCAGUCAAAUUGAGGCAAUGGAAUAAGCUUGUAUUUGGAAAUCAAGAAGCUGGCCUUCAACGAACCCUUUCAGCUAUCAACAUACUAGAGGAAAAAUGUGAAGAAGAAGGUUUAACCGACCAAGAGCAGGAGCAUUUAGACUUUUUGUUGAAAGACCGCUGGGUUCGCAACAAUCACAUUGAAUCUAUUUGGAGGCAGAAAUCAAGACAGAUGUGGUGCAAAUUGGGUGACAGAAAUAACAAGUUUUUUCACAUGAUUGCCAAUUUCAGGAAGGCUAAAUCAUCAAUACUUAAAAUCCACCAUAAUGGCAACACUUUUGACUCUCAGCAGGGAAUUAAGCAGGCUGCUGUGGAUUAUUUCUCUGAGCUGUAUGACUCUCCCUCUGGUAAAAAGCCGCAGUUAAAUCCUUUGGGUUUCAAAUGUCUCUCUAAAGAAUCCUCUGAAUGGUUGGAGCAAGAAAUCACAAUGGAAGAAGUGAAGCGCGGUGUAUGGGGUUGUGAUGGGUCAAAAUGUCCUGGACCAGAUGGUUUCAACUUCAAAUUCUACAGAUUAGCAUGGGAUUUUAUUGCUCAAGACAUUCUCGAUAUAGUCUUAAGCUUCUUCAGAACAGGAAGGCUUCCCAAAGGAAUCAAUACAACCUACGUAACUCUCCUCUCUAAGACAGUCGAACCCAUUGAGUUUAAAGAUUUUCGGCCCAUCAGCAUGAUUCAUGGUAUUUAUAAGAUCAUUGCUAAAAUCCUUGCUUCUAGACUGAAAGUUGUUAUGCAAGAUAUCAUUAGCAUUAACCAAUCAACGUUUAUAGCAGACCGUAACAUUAUAGAUGGCUUUAUGAUUGCAAAUGAGCUGGUGAAUGAUCUAAAAAAGCAAAAAGCGGCAGGUUUGAUUUUCAAGAUUGAUUUUCAUAAAGCUUUCGACUCAGUCUCCUGGGAUUACCUAGAUGAUAUCAUGGGUUAUAUGGGGUUUGGUAGAAAAUGGAGAACCAUGAUUUAUGAAUGUCUUUCUUCAUCAAAACUCUCGGUUUUCAUCAAUGGAUCUCUUUCAAAAGAAUUCUCUGUUCGGCGAGGGCUGCGUCAAGGAGAUCCGAUUUCCCCUUUUCUGUUUGACAUAGCUGCUGAGGGCCUCUCUGUACUCUUUCAAAGGGCAUCUAGUGGGAAUAUUAUCAAAGGGCUGCAAUUUGCAUUAGGAAUUUUUGUCAGCCAUCUUCAAUAUGCAGAUGACACAUUAAUAUUCAUCCCAGCAGAUAUUGAUCAGUUAGUUCAAGUCAAAAGAAUUUUAAGAUGGUUUGCUCUGUCUUCAGGCCUUCAUAUAAACUUCCAUAAAAGAUCCAUUAUUGGUAUCAAUGUCGAUGAUCACUUGUGCUUGCGCUUGGCUACAUCUAUUUUCUGCAGAUCAGACUCCCUCCCAAGCAAAUAUCUUGGCAUGCCAUUAGGAGCCAAUCCAUCUCGUAUCUCCACAUGGAAGCCAGUGAUAGAGAAGUUUCGUAAAAGGCUUCAUAUAUGGAAGGGGAGACUACUAAGCAUGGCUGGUCGUCUAUGUCUCAUUAAAAGUGUCCUUAAUUCCCUGCCUAUAUAUUUUAUGUCUGUAUUCAAGAUGCCAAAAGGGGUAGGCAGGCUUCUUUCAUCCAUCCAAAGACGUUUCUUGUGGUGUGGAUGUACCAAGCAAAGAUCUUUCUGCAAGAUCCAAUGGAGAAUAGUGAUGCGCGAUAAGAAACAAGGAGGCCUCGGUGUAGGCUCCCUUAUAUCAAAAAACAGAGCCCUGCUUCUAAAAUGGAUUUGGAGACUCUCUUCCCCAGGUACAAGCUUAUGGAAAAUGAUUAUCUCUUCAAUGUACAAUCCAUCUUAUGAGAAUGGGAUCCCAAUUUUCUACAACCAACCAUCCAAGAUAUGGAAGGAUAUUAUGUCCAUCGUUCAAACCGACGUUCACCAAGUCUUCACGAAUCAUUGCAAAUUCAUGGUGGGGAAUGGCAAUUUAACAUCCUUUUGGCUAGACAGCUGGAUUGGUGACGACCCUCUCAAAACAGCCUUCCCAAGGCUAUAUCUUUUGUCUUCCUCUAAAACUGCUUUGGUGGCUGACAUGGGUAGAUGGAGCAAUGGAAUCUGGCUCUGGUCCCUACAAUGGCGCAGACCUCUUUUUCAUUUUGAACAAGAACAACUAUCACUUUUAUCAUCCUUGCUGGAAUCCAAGCCAAUGUUCUGCCACAAGAUGGAUAAGAAAAUCUGGACCCUCAACAACGAUGGCCUCUUCAGUGUAAAAUCUUGCUCCAAAAUGAUGGACCAGUUACUCUACGGUGGAGCCAAACCAUUCCAAUCUUCUGUUUGGAUAAAACUAACCCCACCAAAAGUGCAGCUUUUCCUUUGGCUCCUUGUCCAAGACAAAGUAACCACAAGAGAUUUCCUAUUUCAACGCGACUACCUCUCCCUUCAGGAGUCAAGAUGUGCUUUCUGCAAUAAAAGCUUGGAAUCUUCAAGUCACCUCUUCAUUCACUGCCACUUCUCUUGGAAUAUAUGGAUGAAACUGUUUUCUAAUCGGGGCUUUUGCAGUGUUUUUCCAAAAUCUGUUGAUGAUAUGUGCUACCAAUGGUCUUCUAUGGUUAAAGGCAAGCAACAAAAUCUCUCAUGGCAACUUCUUUUCUCAUGCGUUGUUUGGAAUCUUUGGCUUCAUCGAAAUGAUGUUAUUUUUAAUGACGCUGCCCCUAACCAUCAAAUCUGUUUCUCCAUGGUGCGCCAAAGUAUUGCUUUAUGGUUGAGGCUUGACUCCAACUCUUUCGAGCUUAACAUAGAGAAUGUUUAGUCGGGAGGAGUUGGUUUCUUUUGAUUUGUCUGUUCUCCUUUUGUUGUUAUCCCCUGUUUCAUGAAACAGUUUUUGUGCUUCCCUUUCCUCUGCUUGUUCUUCUGAUGUAAGUUAGGCUACUAUCUUUGUAGCUUUUUCCUUUUAAUAAAAUUUCGACUAUUAACAAAAAAAAAAAAAAAAGGUAUCAGUAUGAUUGGAGUUUGGAAAUUGAUGAACAAUGGGGAUUGGAGUUGCUGGUGAUGCAUGAUUUUGAGCUAGAAUUGCCCCUCUCGAUACGAAACCAGGUGCCUGAUAGAUAAAAUUAGGUUUCAAUACGAGUUCGAAAUAUACUGCAAAUGAGGGAAGUAAUGAGGAGCUUACAGGUGAAAACAAGACCCCUCUGAAAAUCUUCCCAUUAACAGUUGCAGUCAUUAGAAGGCCUAAGUCGAAGGCUCCGUCAACUUUACCUCGAACUUCAGCACCAACCUAUGGAGAAAGAGAAGAAAGUGAAAAGCAAGUAUUAGCAGAACAGGAAGGAAGACAGACAAAAAAAUUUGUAAUUGACAAUGUUUUGCAUUGCAUAUAUCAACUUAAUGAUUUACCAGGUUUUGAGUACACCCUGGCUCCAUGGAUCUAUGUUCCACUGCUGGGAAUGGUGUUCCUUGCCUGCCAAACCCUGCAUGAACAUAUUGUUCUACUCUUUUAUUCUCUUGAAACUUGGAGCCUGUGCCGGGUUUUUUGGAUCACAAGUCUAGGUAGUUUCUGAUUACAUGCAACACUAUCAGCCUGGUAAUUUCUUGGAAUUUUGUAUAAUUAAAUAAUCUAAUCUUAAACCACUACUCCAAUUGUUGAUAUAAAAGUUUAAAACCGAUCUAAUUAAAAGAAUUCAAAAUUAAGUGUGAAAAAUAACUAAAAUAAAAAAUUAAUUCAAAUAACAAAAACAAAAUCUUUUGCAUCUGAUUUGAGAAAAUUUAUGUGGUGGAUGACCGAGCCUGUAAAAUUAUAUGAUAAAAUUUAAGUAUAAUUUAAAAAUUAAAUUUAAAAUUAUUUUUAUCAGGUUUUAUGUCUAAUGUGUUGAAUUUGUUUAUGGAUUUCUAUUCAGGCUUAAUCAUAAACGUCUUUGUUUACACGUCAUAAUUAAAGCAUAAAAUGUCGUGUAAGCCGAUGCUUGACUUUUUUAAAAAAUAAUUUAGUUUCGGUUGACUCACAAAAUUGAGACAUCUAGCUAGUCACUCAUGGCUUUAGACGUACCUCUUGUAAAGAUAUCAACGGCUUUACGUCUACCAAGUGUCAGAAGAUUAGAGAUUGAUAUUGUUAGAAUGUUGUUAAUAUUGUUUGUUAGCUAAGAGAGUUUGUUAGUAUUGUUUCAGUGCUAAGAGAAAGAACAGAUACCGUGUAUUACCUUUCUAAUAUAGCCUAUAUAAACUGAGGAUUAGUGAUGUGAAAAUAAUGAAAGAAAAAGUAAUAAUAAAACAGUGCGAGACUUCAUCUUCUGCUUCUCUGUAACAGAAUUAUUCUAUAUUCUUCUUCCUUUCUAUUCUCUGCACUUUCUUCAUUUCUGCUCCUUUUCUGUAUAAAUUCUACCGUCUAUCAUGGUAUCAGAGCAGUAACUGGUCCGAUGGGAUGUCUUCUGAUUGUCAAGAAUUAUACUGGCGAUCGUCUAAAUUUUGGUUUGGCUGCUAAGCAAGCAAAAUCUGAAGGUUAUAAAGUAGAGACUGUAAUUGUUGGAGAUGACUGUGCUUUACCUUCACCUCGAGGCAUAGCUGGACGAAGAGGGUUGACGGGGACUAUUCUUGUUCAUAAGGUUGCUGCAGCUGCAGUUACUGUUGGCCUUUCUCUUGAUGAAGUUGCUGCAGAAGCGAAACGUGCAUCUGAAAUGGUUCUAAUAUCUUGCUAAUCUCUGUUUCUGUAGAGAGAGCAAUACGGUCUCUUAAGAUUCAUACUUCUCAACAAGCUUGCACAAAGAGUCACUAAAUUGCUUUUGGCCACUUGCCAGAGCAAGUACGAUAGUCUUCUCCAUCAAAUCCUGAAGAAGAUCAAUAUAUAACAAAGAGUCGCCGCCAAUGUAUUACCAGCAGCCAUUAAUCUCUGUUUCUGGCAUUAUUAUCUCCUUAUCUACACAAUUCUUUCAUAAUAAUCGAUAUGUCUAUCAUUUGUUUGAUAUAUUGUCAAACUGAAAAAUUCUUCUUCAAAUCUUCAACUUUCUGCAAGAUUCUUCCUUCUCAAUCUUUGAUUCUCUUCUUUUCUAUCUCUUGCACUCUAAAAAUGGCGACUACUUCUCAACUUCAGAUAGUUCAACUCUAAUAAGAGAAUAUACACAUAAACGUUUUCUUCUUCCUCUACACUACAUAAUUUCUCUCUGCUUCUCUUCAUCUCUAUUCUCUGCUUUUCUUCUCUUCAUCUAUAUUGCUUCUAUUCUCUGCUUUUCUAUUGCAGUAUCUCCCUCUAAUUCUAUUCACUUCUUUGUUCAUCUCUGUGACGAUUCUUGCUAGCUUUUCAAAAUAUUUCUUCUAUCUCCAUUGCUUCCAAUCCAGUGUUCCAUUCCAGGAUGAAACAUCUCCAGAUCGAUUAUCACUUUGUUAGGGAACGGGUUAUCAAGGGUGAUUUACUGGUCCAGCAUGUCUUCUCUACUGAUCAGUUUGCUGAUAUCCUCAUCAAAGGUCUUUCCAUUUCUUUGUUUCAGCAUCAUUGUUCCAAUCUCAUGCUUGGCUCCUCCAAGCCUGCGAUUGAGGGGGCAUGUAAAGAUAUCAACGGCUUUACGUCUACCAAGUGUCAGAAGAUUAGAGAUUGAUAUUGUUAGAAUGUUGUUAAUAUUGUUUGUUAGCUAAGAGAGUUUGUUAGUAUUGUUUCAGUGCUAAGAGAAAGAACAGAUACCGUGUAUUACCUUUCUAAUAUAGCCUAUAUAAACUGAGGAUUAGUGAUGUGAAAAUAAUGAAAGAAAAAGUAAUAAUAAAACAGUGCGAGACUUCAUCUUCUGCUUCUCUGUAACAGAAUUAUUCUAUAUUCUUCUUCCUUUCUAUUCUCUGCACUUUCUUCAUUUCUGCUCCUUUUCUGUAUAAAUUCUACCGUCUAUCACCUCUAACUUCGCUUACUAUGCUUAUUAUGCAAAGCAAUUAUUUUCAAGCUUGUGGAACGGGGUGUUCCUCCAUCUUCUUGUUUAACUGCUUUCUUCAUAAACUUGGGAAGUCAUGUGUUAUGAACAAUUGAUUUGAUCUUGUGAAAUAUAUGGCAGAAGAGAUUAGAAAAUGACUUCUAUUAUCAAUAAUUUCUUCUUCCUUGUGAAAUGAUUUCCCGAUACAGCUCUUAAUUUCAACACCUGCUUGCUCUUCUUUUCUUAGUAGACCUGGGAAGCAAAGAUUCCUAAUUAUCCACAUCAUCAAUCGCGAUCCCAUCAAAAAUGAAUUUGGUGGAAGAAAGAAAAACAAAUUGAAAGAAAAAUUAUCAAUUAAGAUUUCAUGUCGUCACAAAAAACAAUUACGAGCUUCAUAAGAUAAUUUUAGCUAGUUUGUCUUAAACUCAUUAGAACAUCCUUUAAUCUUCAACUGCUGUCAUUUGAGAUUUCAUGUUUGUGUUUUCAAUUAAGAUUACACAUCCAUUUGUCAGAAAUACGCACCAAUAUUCCUUAUUACCUAACCUUAAUCCUGUAAUUCUGAUUCUGAACUGCUCUUUACACUCCUUUUCCAUCGAUCAAUACAGAUCAAUCUUUAUUAUUUGCUCCAGGUUGCUGCUGCUGGUUACUCUGUCAUGGAUUAUUAUUUUUCAGUAGUCAGUUAUCCUAGUGCUUGCUUGGACAUGCUCAACAAUGGAGUUUCUCUAAAUGUAAUUCCCACAGUGAAAUCUUCUGUCAAAGUCAUUUCAAGCCGGAAAAGAUCAGGAAAAUGCAGUCUUGAAACAUCAAGCGAAUAGUGCCCAGCAGGAAAAAUUCGUUUCUACUAACAAAUGGAAUGUAAAGUUGAUCCAAGGAUGCUACUAACUUACAAGAAAUUAAAUCAUCAAAGAAAAAAUAUCCACUAGAAGAAGUGUUCUUUCCUUCUAUUUAAAAAGAAUUCGAAAUUUUACUAGACCCUAAUAACAUGAAGUAAAUCUGUUUUUUUUACUCUUGGCUUGUUCUCAAAAAUUUUAUUGAUAUUAAUUAAAUAACAAAGACAAUGAUGUAGCUAGUAUGAACUAUGAAAAUUGAGAACGAGAGGGAUGAUCAGGAAUGGAUUAAGAAAAAUGGGCUUGAAAGAGACCCAACAGGAGAGAAAAAUCUAAAAUAAACUCUUGAUGUCUUUCAUAACUCAAUUUUUGACUCUUUUUAUUUUAUUAUUAUUACUAUUAUUUUAUUUAUUGAAAAAUGAUAAUAAAAAAAAUAAUGAUGAAAAGAAAAUAAAAAAUGAAGAAUAAAUUAAAAUUAGGUUAAGGCAACAUGAUUGGAAGUUUUGGGGAUUAAUUAAAGUUUGGAAUUAAUUCAAUCAAGGGUUUAAUUGGAGAAUUGAUAAGUUUUGAGAUUAAUUGAGUUUGGAAUUAAUUGAAUUAAUGAAAAUCAAGGAUUUAAUUAGAGAAUUGACAAGUUGUUAGACUUAUUUGAACUUGGAAUUAAUUUAUUCAUGGACUUAAUUGAAAAACCAUCAAAGUAUAGGGCUGAUUAUGGUCAAAUUUGCAAGAAAUUAAAACCCAAGGACCAAUGUGUAAAUGGCGCUGAGAUUCAGGGGUUCAAUUACAAUUUACCCAAGGACUGGACUGCAAAAAGUCAACAUGUCUAGGAUGAAAACGCAAAAGGCCAUUAACAUCAGCACUGUUCAUCUUCUUCACCCGAAAACGCAUGCCUUUAUUGCAUUAAAAUCCAUGCAACCGCAUGGCAUUCUCUGGUUAUAAAAACCAGAGAAGGAGAACGAGCACCAGGUUAGAGAGGGGGAGAGGAGAAAAUAAACAGACUUUCAUUCCUCUGUUUCUUCUUAAGGAAACAGAGGAGGUUAAAGAAAAAAGCAACAAACAGGAGGAAAAAAGAGCAAAACCGGGGGGAAAAAGGGAGAGAAGACAGAGAGAGUGAGCGACCGAAAAGGGGAAAACAAAAGGAAAAACUGAGAGACAGGGGAGAAAAGGCAGAACCGAGGGGACUAAAGGGGGGGAAUAAAAGAAGAAAACAGAGGAGACAAAAACCGGGGAGAGGGGGAGACACAGAAUCAGUUUCAACCAUCUCUUCACCAUCUUCAACAACUCUUCAGCCUCCAGGAACCCAGACAGGAGAAGAAACCCCAUCGACUUGCUUUGGGAAGACGCAGAGUUACAGAAUAGAGAGCGGAGAAGCAUACGAAAAAAAGAGGGGGGCAAGCUUCCAUUCAACCGACAGCACCUAGCAUCUUCAUCACCAUCGUUGAUGUCCUGAGCAGAGGAAACACAGAAGGAAGACCAAGGAAAGCAGUAGACAAGAGUCACCACCAGCGUCACCACUGUUUUUGUCGCCUCCAGAAGCAGCAGCUUCAGAUCUCCAUCUUCAGUAGCCACUGCACCAGAAACAGGGCACUCCAGGAGAGAAAUACAGGGAAGAACCGGGGAAGAAAAGGAGAAAGAGAAGGAAGAAGAGAGGAAGAACAAGAGGUGGCAGCGCCGUUCGUCCAGCGCAGUGCGCCAUCGUCUCCGGCUACGCCUUGCUGCACCAGGUAAGUCUUCUCUCGUCUCUCCCCUCCUGCGUUAUAUUUCACUUGCCACUCUAGCAAGUGAAUUAUAAUUAAUUCACUACCCAACCGGGUCACUGGCUUCGGCCAGUGACCAGACCAGGAAUGUUGGGUCUACCUAGCCAUGUAGGCUGGAUCAGACCCAGCCCCACAAAAAAAAUAAAAAAAAUAAAAAAAAAAACAAAAAAAAACUAGAAAGUGUAGAAAUAAAAAUUUUACAUGUCUUAGGAAAAAUGUAUUUUUGUCAAUUUAUUCACUGAUAUUAGGAUCAGAAAUAAAAAAAAAUAUAUACUGAUUUUUUUUUAGCUAUGAAUUUCUACACCAGAGUUGGAAUUAUUCAUGGUGGAAUUUUUACCAACGCUAGAUUUGGAAUUAUUCGUGGUGGAAUUUUUAAACUCUAGAGUUGGAAUUAUUUGGGGUAGAAUUUUUACCAACACCAGAGUUGGAAUUAUUUGAAAUCGAAUAUUCACUGACACUAAAGUCAGGAAUAUUAUAAACAAAUCAUCAUAGCAUAAGCGAAUAAAUGUUUAGUAAUUUAAGACAAAACCAGCAAUGCAGUCUGCCUCAGGCAGAACAUUUAAAGGGUGAUAAUAUCUUCCCUUUUACAUAACCAAUCCCGAACCAUAGAAUCUCUGUUGACUAGUUAGGGUUUCUAGUGGCGACUCCUUAAACAAGAUUUUUUUCCCCUAAAAGAACAAGAUGCCAGAAAUCUAUUUUUUAUUCUUUUUCCAUAAUGAAGAUUAUUUUUAGAGCCGCCGGGUGCGACAAUGUUUAAAAUAGCCUAGAAGUAGGGCUUAGAUAGCUAGGGCUGAGAAAAUUGCCAAAAUAGGUAAAUACUGAUUAUUCAAUAAAUAAAUAAAAUAUUGCCUUGUUUUAAGUUUAGACUUAUGUUCUUUCAGCAAACAAAAUUAUUGUAGAACCACAUUCCACCUUGCUGGUAUGAUCCUGUGGUUCUAUCAAUUAUUUUAUUAAUUGAGAAAAUACUGUAAACUAUUACAAUUGUGAAUAAAUUCCAUAUUAUUAGGGAUAUAGUAAUCACAAGAAGCCAAGAAAUCUAAGAGCAAAACGCAACAUAAUUAAGACAUAACAAACAAAUAUGGAUACAAGCACAAGAACAAACACAAGUCACAUCAAAACAGAAAGGCUAAGCAACAAGAACCGGACACUUCGACAGAACACUUCUCACAGGCAAAUUGCUAAACAUGCAGUGAUCAACCCUUGAUUUGGAAUGCGACUGCAUCCCCAUAGAGGAUCACAACAAAUUCAGAAAGCAGCCCACACGCUGAUAAGACCCAAUCACCUUUUGAAUCUGGACAACUUGCGAAAGUUUAUAGCCAAAAAGCAGUAGCAAGUGUCAAUGCACUCUUCAAUGAAGUAAAACCACCUGCGUCGCCAAUGCGGAUUUAUGCACAGUACUGCUGCAAUUGUCAACACCACAAUUAUGUAAAACACACCAAAGCUGGCAUAGAAACUGUCCAUGUCUAUUAAUCCAUCAUCUCCAUUGGAAUUGUUAGGCACUCUCACUGAUGGUGAUUCUGUUUUGUCGCAACUGUUUUGCAAUGGAGGUCCACAAAGAAGAGGAUUCCCUUUAUAACUGCUCUCAUCAAAGGUAGCAAAUUGAUAUUUCAUCUCCGGUGUUCUUCCUGACAAAUUAUUGUACGACACGUUGAAAACUGCUAGAAAGUUCAGUUCAACGAGUUGUGCAGGAAUUCUCCCAUUCAAGUUGUUGUGAGAAAGAUCCAAGCUCUCUACGUGCUUCAGAUUGGAGAAAGAUGAAGGGAUCAAUCCCGUGAGAUUAUUUUGUGACAGAUUUAGAGCGAAUAUGUCACUUAAGUUUCCCCAUUCUGUCGGGAUUUCUCCAGUGAAUCUAUUACAAGACAGAUCCAUAGCAGACAUGUAACGAAGGAUAUCGCCCUCGUAAGUGUAGAAAUUUUUCUUUGCUGUAAGCUCUACAGCUAUUUUUACAUCAAUCUCUGGCCACAUAGUUUUGCUAUCAAUAUGAAAACCUCUGUUACCCAAUUUUCUCCCCCCUAUGGAUGCCAAUAUUUCUUUCUGGCUUCCAUCAUCUUCUGACACCGUAUCUGUGACGACCAAAGUUUUUUCACCCGAUGCCGUAAAAUUUAAAUUGCUUAAACAUAAGGGUAACGGACCAGAAAAAUUAUUUUCUGAAAGAUCCAAUAUGCUUAAUUUCCUUAACAAGCAUACCUGAACAGGAAGUUCCCCAUUGAAUUGAUUAGAUUUCAGAAGAAGAAUGCUCAAUUUCGAUAGUCUAUCAAUCCAAUUUGGAAUUGGCCCAGUUAAGUUGUUAUUGCCAAGAUCUAAUGUCACCAAAUGAGAGCUAUUAUAAAAAGCAUUUGGCAGUGGACCACUCAAUCGAUUUCUGUAUAGGUGGACAUAGCGUAAAUAUGGUGUUUGGAAGCCCAACGACAAUGACCCAGACAGAUUGUUUUCAGAAAGAUCUAAAAAUUCAAGCAAAUAACAUCUGAAAAGCUCUAUUGGAAUGGUACCUUCAAAAUGAUUUCUGGACAAGUCAAUUCCCUGCAAGAAUAUUGAAGAGUUCCCAAUUCCCUUUGGAAGCGUGCCUGACAAAAGAUUGUUACUGAUAUCAACCAACCAAAGUGAUGAUGCAAGAGAAAAGGUGCCAGAUACUUGUCCAACAAAUUUGUUUCCAUCUAGAAAGAGGUAACGCAGGUGAGUCAUGUUGAAAACAAAAGGCGGUAAUCGCCCUUUGAAAUUGUUAUUGGACAGCUUCAAAAACCACAACGAGGAGCCUCCUGUAGGCAAGUUAUGCUCAAGUAGUUCACAAGUCAUAUGAUUGUUGGAAACAUCCAAGUAUGCGAGAGAGCUCAUAUUCCCAAAAGGAGGAAUGCAACCUGUAAGGUUGUUGUUAGCCAUCAAGAAGUUCUUCAAACGUGGAAAAAUCAAACAUGUGUUUCUUGCAAUUUGACCAUGGAUGUUGUUGUCAGAAAUAUCUACUGUCCGAAGGUUGGGUGUUGGAUGUUGUGGCAACUGCAAAGGACCUGUAAUUGAGGUGUCUCUCAAAUAUAAUCGAUUUAACAUUCUAUUAUUCUCAACCAGCCAUGAUGGGAAAGGUUGUCCAAUGAAUUUGUUGUGGGAUAGAUCAACAAACAUCAAAUCAUAUUGGCUAUGGAGGAAGUUUGGAAAUCCAGCCUUGAGUGGUUUUGAAGUACAGUUUGAAGCACUGAAAAAACGAAGCUGGAACUUGGUAGCUGAAGGCUGAAAACUGGGUGCAGGUAUUAGCUCAUUGUUAUCGCAUGCAAUGAACUUGAGGUUGGAGUGGUUCAUAAAUGAACCAAAAGAUAUUGGAACUUGAAAGUAAUUAUUUGAAACUGAGAGGUAUUCAAGCUGCGUAAGAUGGGAGAGGUGACUAAAGGCAAUAUUUCCCUCCAAUUGAUUGUCAGAUAAAUCCAAGAAUUGUAGAAAUGAUAGAUUUCCAAGACAAGGAGGGAGCAAGCCCGUUAGUUUGUUUCCUGAGAGAAAUAGCUGUUCAAGAUUCGUCAGUUCACACCAGCCUGCACAUUAUAUCCAUAUGUUCAUGUCAAGGGAAUAGGAAUAUAUCAAUUAUGUACUAUUCGUUGAGAGAUCUAUUCGAAUACAAGUUUAUUAGCGAUUUAAUUUACCUUGGUGAGGCAGGGUGCCAUUUAGCAUACAGCUUUCCAGAGACAAAAUUCUGAGAGCAGGAAACGGUCCAAUAUUUAGAAGAAAACUUGCUGUCAUGGGAGAAGCUCGAUCCAGGAAUAGCUCUUCAAGUUUGGUGAAAUUCUGCGGUCCUAAAGGAUUAAGAAAGGUGCGUUCUUAAUAUCAUUUGAGUUGAGAUUGAAGGAAGCGGAAACAUAAAGGGAUUGGGUUAUUAAAAAAAAAUUAUUAUGGGAAAUUAAAAUCAUUUCCGACAUAAAUUUCUAUUUUAUUGAUCCAUAUGUAUAACCAGCUUAUAAAAGGAAAAACGGAGAAAUUUUUGUUGAUAAAAUUACUAAAUAUCGUCAUAAACGUAAUGGUUUAAUAACAUGAAAAUUCUUUUAUUCUUUCAUGGGAAAUUUUUAGAUUCAUCAUUUGACACAUAUUUUUGCUAUCCGAAGAAAGGAGCUUGAGAUUUGAGUGGUUCAUAAAUGAUUCAACUACUUAACAAAACUGGGACUUGAUUGUAAGACACAUCCACCAGUUGUAAUAGAUGACAAGUUUCUCAAACAAGUUGUGAUGAGGGACACGUAUCUACAAGUUUAAACUCAGAAAGAAGUCUGAAUGUGUCAAAUAAUCUUUUAAUUACCUUGAGCAGGUCCGGUGCCAUGGAAGUCAGCUCUGGUCAAGGAUAAAACUUUAAGAGUAGACAAGGGUCCAAUGUUCCGAAGAAAGCUUGUUGGGAGAGAAGAAUAAUCGAGGAACAUUUCUUCAAGGCUAGUCGAAUUACACAAUCCUGUGGAACAGAUAAGAUAAAUCCAUUAAUGAAAGUGAUAUAUAAAUAUCAUGUUUUAGGCUCCAAACUGUAACUGACCUUUACCAGAGUGUAUUCCUUUAAAUUUGCUCCCAGUAGCAUAUAAGCUCUUGAGGGAUGGCAACGCUCCCAAUGACUCUAUCAAAAUGCUUUCCUUGAAGUCAAUUAUUUCCAGAUACAAGAUUUCUAAAUUCCUCAAACCUGUGAUGGAGAGCACAAUUAAUAAUAAUGGCUUUUUUAUUUUUUAUUUUUUAUUUUUUCCUGAUUCCAAGUGGUACAGAUAUGUGUGUUCUACAAUUUGUUUUAUUUAUGUGUUGUCAUCUGGAAUAAUUUGGAGCACUAUCGUAGAAUGAGCAGGGGUGCAUGCAGAGUAAUUGAUCUAGCAGUUUCCGGCUGCUGUGUUCUACAAAUUUUUGUUCUUGACUUUUUGUUUGCUCUAUCUAGUUGGAAGUUUUAGCUCAAAAUUGUUGAUAUAAAUAAUUUCUAAUGUUAAAGAUUAAUAUAUAAUUAUUAUUAGAAACUUACCCAACAAUUUAAGUCUUUGAAUUAAAUUAAUUUUAAUAUGAUAUUAGAAUUUUAAUAACCAAAUGUUUAUGAAUUUAAAUCAUCUCACCUCCAUUCCUUUAAUAUUUUUUAAAAAAUAAUCAGCACUAGCGAAAGGUAUACCAUGUAAGAAUCCAUAACUAUUUCACUUGAAAAAAUAUGUUAAAGGAAUUAAUUAUAUAAAAGCAUUUAUAGGGCUUCAUUCAUCUGCUUGAUGAUUAAUGCACAGCUAAUUAUUAAAAAAGUUAACAAAAUAAUAAAUUAAGCCUCUCUAAGGAAUGUCAUCGAGGUAGGAAUGAUUUACCAUUGAGACCAAUUGAUCCUGUAAACUUAUUUUUUGAUAGAUGUAGAGAUUUGAGAGUUGAAAAACCACCGAGAGAUGAUAAAAUACUAUCGUUAAAUUUAUUGUCACUCAGUUCAAGUUCCUGCAAUUCCCUCAACCCUGAUGCUAGCUCGUGAAAACCUAUAAGAAAAUUGUCAAAAGCAAAAAAAUUAACAAAUAUAUAUAUUUCAACCAUCCAUUAUCCAUAAAAGUUCAAUGAAAUAUAAAUUUAUGUAUUAAUUUUUUAUAUACCAAUUGUUCCUGUGAACCUAUUGUUUGAUAGAUGUAGAGAUUUGAGAGUUGAAAAACCACCGAGAGAUGAUAAAAUGUUGUCGUUAAAUUUAUUGUCACUCAGAUCAAGUUCUUCCAACUUUCUCAACCCUGAAGCUAGUACUUGAAAACCUGAAAGAAAAUUGUCAGAAUAAAAAAGAUUACACCUGAAAUUUAUUUUUCAUUGAACUUUUUUGGAUAUUGGGAUAUUGUAUGAUAUAUAUACCCCAAUAUCCAUAAAAGUUAAAUGUAAAGUUACUUGAAAUAUAACUUGAAGUGUUAACUAAAAACAAUUGAACCUUGAUUCUCUAAGACACCAUCUAAUCGGUUGUCGCUUAAGUGGAGAAUCUCCAAUUCUUUGAAAGGCAGAAACAAAGAUGCAUUGAGAUCCAAGUCUUCGAAUGGAAAAGAACUUACACCUGAAAGAUGAAGUUCGAUCACUCGGUUUGUGGUGCUGUCGCACACAACCCUACCCCAGUUACAGCAAUUAAAAUGCUCUUUAUCCCAACCUUUUGAUAGAGGUAGUAUAGAUAACCCAGCAGUUGCAUGACUGAACCAAGCUUUUAUCUCUAAGAGACUAAUUCUCUCUUCCUCUAAACAACAAUGGCACCGCUCGUUGACGAAGGCCAGUGCCAUGAGCAGCAUCCACACCCACAUUUGCCUCAUCUUCAUAUUGACUCUCCUACUUGACAAAAUACAAUAGCAAUCAAGUUGUCUCUUAUAUACAAUUUUGUCCUCUUCAUGCAUUUGAUCGGACAGUGACAGUUAUCUGUAUCAUUGAAUUAAUUAUCCAAGGUAGACUUGGGCUUAAUUGAAUGGGAGAGUCUUCACGGACAGUGCUAGCCGUGGGCCCGCACCACGGCACAGAUCAACGUGGUUGUUGAUAUAUAUUUUUUUGUUAUACUAUCUUAUUAUUUAAUUCUUUUUUGUUUUUAUGUUUUAUGUUUCCCUGAUCUACUAUUGCAUUUAGUACCUUAACAAUAUGCAUUCAUUGCCAUCUAGAAUUUCAUUCAAUAGAGCGAUUAAUCAAGAAACUUAUUAUUGACUUUCAUUUAAAUUAGAAUACAUGAAUAAUUUAUGAGUUUGAAAAAUGUUAUCCAUCCAUAUUAAUUACACAAAUUUUAAAAUAAAUUGCAAUUAAGUUUUUCCAAACAAAUAUCAUUACAUAAGGAAUACGUACGUACUCAAGACAUAGGAAGCCAAGUUUCCAAGAUAAUCCAUUAUUCAAUUUUGUGAAUGAUGAAACUUUUCAAGAUAAUCCUUAUAUAAUAAGGUUUGAUCAAUUUUUUCGAGAUUGUGUUAUCAUAAAUCACAUAUCGUUUAAGUUUCCAGCUUAUAAUAAUAAUUUACACGAAUUAUUGGUGAGAAAUCUCCAAAAUCAUUUUAAAAAAGACAAAUCUAUAUGUCUUAUAGUGCUAUCUCUUUUUUUGUGUUUUCAAAUGUUUUUGUAUUAUGUGUACAUUAUAUCAUCUCUCAUACACAAAAUAUGAGACAUAAUAUUUUAUUUUUAGGAAAAAUCUAAUAAUCCCAUAAAUGAUCAAAUAUCAAUUUGCUUUCCCUAAAUAAUAUCACAUAUAUUAUUUCAAAAUAGUUUUAGAAAUUUGUUCAAUCAAGUCUGUACUUAAUUUUUCUAGGUUUAUAAUUGUAAUCACGUGUAUCAACUUCACUUUAGUUCUUAAUUUCUAAAACUUAAUUACAAUCAAGUCACAUUUAAUUAAUCAUCUCAUUUUAAUUUUUGAUCAAUGAUUUUUAAUGUGUGUGGCCAAUUGAGUUCUUAACAAGUUGGCUCAAAUAUAAAUAACAAUCAUAAAUAAAAUACAAUUAAACAAUUUAACAAUUUAACUUAUCAUUAAUUUAACAAAUUAAUUAAUUAAUAUUUGAAAAUCAAGUGCAAUAUUUAAUAACAUGUCAUAACCCUCUAAAUAUUAAAAAGGUCAUACAUGUUUUGACUUAACUUUUUAUUGACUAGUUUCUCAAAGUAAUUAUUAUCCCUUUAUUAAGAAUAUUUUAAUUUAGAUAUUAGAGCACAAAGUAUAUAUGUUCUAUCAAAUCAAAUUUAUUAUCAACAUCAUAGUCAUAGAUUAUUUGAAUAAGAUUUGAAACUCUUUACAAAUCUUAUUACACCUUGCACAAUGAUUUCAUAGUCAAUACUAUUUGUCGCACGUGUAUGGCAUCGCGGCGAUCGUCCACCCUCAAGGAAAAAUGUAAUGGACUAUCUGGUAAAUGUGGAGAGACAAGGAAUUCUUGUCACUUAUCAAUGGAAAAUUUAAAUAGGAGUCGCCACCUAGUAUUCUAGUCACUAGGAACCCUAACUGGUCUUAGAGAUCGGAUACGGAGACUGGUUGCGUAAAGGGAAUGUAUUAGCACCCCAAAUACUCCCUACCUAAGGUAAGCUGCAUUGUUUUGUCUAAUAAAAUCUAAAGUCUUGUUGUGGUUUCUAAUUGUCGGUCCGUUUACAGUUUAAGAAAAGUCCUCUGUAAGGAGAUCCUUAUCUUAUCAGGUAAAACCUAAUUAUUUUAAGUUGUCAAAAGAAAAUACCUUUUUAAUAUCGGGAAUACAUUUUACGUAUAAAUUCAUAAUCUUUGAUACUAAAAUCAAACAAAAUAAAAAUUUUUUUUGUUUUUGAAAUUUUGGUCAAUGUUCUCUUCACUUUAAUAAACUGGUUAUUAAAGCCACAAUGCAUGCUAAAUUUUUUUUUUUUCUGGUGUAUGAAAAACACAAUAUGAUUUUUUUAGCUUUUGAGACACUUGUCCAUAUACACAAAAAGAUUUUUUCUUUUUCUCAAUUUUUUUUGUAUUUUGGAAGUUUUAACAAAAAUCGGGUAUUUUAAUAUCGAAUUUGUAUGUUUACGACGCAAAAUACUGACCGAUAUUAAGCAAAACAAAAGACAUAAAUCAAAAGGAGGAAAUCAGAAAAUAUUAAAAAUAUUUUUUUAAAAUGGGCCGGACCCAGCCCAGAUCAAUGGGCUGGGCCGGACCCAGCCCAGAUCAAUGGGCUGGGCCAGACCCGACCCAAAAAACUAAUGGGCUGGUUACUGUGUAUAAGCACAGUAACCAGCCCUUCACUCUUUCCUGCAGAACGUGAAUUAUUCAUGUUUUGCAUGCAAAUACAGGCAGGGACAAGAAGAGGAAAAUGAAUGAGGCAGCAGGAGGUUACCUAGGGUGGCGUCGAGGCGGUGUUGCUGGCAGCGGCAGUGCUACUAUCGUAGUGGUAGUGUUGGUGGCCGGCGGUGCUUCUCCUUUUUCUUCCUCUCCCUCCUUUGUUUUUUUUUUAUUAUUAUUUCUUUUUCUUUCCUUUUCUCCUCCUCUUUUCUGCUAUGUCUUGUCUCAUCUCUUCUCUUCUCUCUUAUGUUCCUCUAUUUUAUUUUUUUCUUCCCUCCCCUCUGUUUUUUGUUCUUUUUUCGGGUCUGUUUUUCUUCUUCUCUUUCUCUCUUCUUCCUUCUUUUUCUCUGCUCUUUUCAGUCCUCUUGCCUAUCUGCUCUCUUGUCUCUCUUUCUCUCUCUCAGUUUCCCCACCUUUCAUCAUGCUCUCCCCCUCUGUAUUUAUAGGUGAAAACAAAGGGGGGGGGGAGAGGUCGAGGUGGCCACUGUGUUGCCACCCCAAACCGCCCAAGGGGUACGUCCCCUCCAUUCUUCCACCACGUGGCAAGCAAAUGGGUUGUAUCGGCAUCUUUUUUAGCUUUAAGAGAGAGAGGGAGCUAGUGAAAACAGGGGAAUAAAACCUUCUUCUUCCCCUAAUUUCUACACAUCGAAGGGAAGAAAGGUUGUAUCGUUCAAAAAGGCACCAUUUUGGGCUUUCUCUCUUUCUUUGUUUUUAUGAACAGUAUAUGAAACGACGCUGUUUUGGUCAAAAUGCGUCAUUUUAUUUAAAUGGAUUUUGGUGCCAAAACGUGUCAAAUUCAAAAUCAGGCCUUCAAUUUGCAUGUGUUUUACAAUUUAGUCCUUGGUCUCGGAUUUCUUCAAUUAAGUCCCUAAUUGGCCAUCAAACUUCAAUAUUUAUGCAAUUAAGCCCCUAAUUUGACCAAAUUAAAUCUUAAAAAUUAUAUUUUGACCCCAAAACUUUAAUUUAUUUCAAUCAAGCCAAAUUAACUCCAAAAUUAAUUUUUCUUGCAAUCAAAACCUCCAUAAAUUCAAUUAAACCUUUAAGAAAAUUUAAUUGAGUCCAUAAACCUCUGAUUUUGGUCUUUUCUUUCUCAAAUUAAAUUUUCUUUGUCAACAGGGCUAUCAUCAGUCAACAAAAUAUUGUCAAAUUUUAAUUUUUGUAUUUUUAAACCUUCUCAACCAAUUUUUAACCCUUUUUUAGUGUUGCUGAAGACUGUGAAGAUGAUGGUCAACGCCGGUUCUCGUCUCUACGCUUUCAUCCGAUGGGCUGAGUUUGCGUCUCCUUUGCUCCUGGUUUGAGAUUCUGUCAACUUCAGUUCUGAGAUGAAGGGACAAAGAAGAUGGUGGGGCUGCUCCUUGUCUUUGCGUCGUUUCUCUGCUUUUAUUUUUCUCAGUUUUUUCGUUCCUCGGUUCUGCUUCCCCCCUCCUCUUCUUUCAUUCCCUGGCUUCUUAUAGAGCCAGAGAACGUGGUAAUCAGGGUGAGCCACGUUCCCACGAUAUGCAGUUACAGAUGUCCUGCUGAAACGGUCUUGAGCGACGAAGAAGGUGGAGCGUUUGAACUGGAAAUGGCAACUUUCGUUUUGGACCUUGAAUUUUAGAAAGUUUUGUAAUUAAGUCCCUAGUUAAAUUGUAAUUGGACCCCUGCAGUUUGGCAUCUUUUACAAGUUAGUCCUUGGAUUUUAAUCUGUUUGCAAUUGUGCCCCCAAUUAACCCCAAACUUUGCUAUUUUUCCAAUUAAGUCCUUGAUUUCAUUAAUUAAAUUAAAUCCAAGUCCAAUUAAGUCUUAAACUUAUCAACUCUCCAAUUAAACCCUUUGAUUUGAUAAAGUAAAUUAAUUCCAAACUCAAUUAAGUCUCAAAACUUAUUAAUUCUCCAAUUAAACCCUUGAUUUAAAUAAUUAAACUAGUCAAGAAUUUAAUUAAAUCUUUAAACUUCCAAUCAUGUUGCUCCUAACCCAAAUUUUAAUUCAUUCUUUAUUUAUUAAAAUUUUUACUUGUUUUUCAUUUUAGUAAAUAAAAUAAUUAAAAUAAAAGGUAAAAAAUUGGGUUAUGAUAAUUAUUUUUAUCAGAUUUUAUAUAUGAUGCAUCAAGUUUUUUAAUGUUAAUUGAAAAAAAAAUUAGGAUUACAUCCUAGUCGUAGAUAUGAUUAUUAUUCAUUUAAUGUUAAUAGAAACAUAUAUAUAUAUAUAUAUAUAUAUAUAUAGCAAAAGCAAAAGGUUUGAAUUGGUGGUUAAAAACAAAUAUUUUUUUAUUUUGCGGUUCCACCAGAUGCACCAAGUAAAUUAUUGUGAGGGUGCUCCCCUUCAGUAAAACUUUUUUUAAAAAUAAUUUAGUUUCGGUUGACUCACAAAAUUGAGACAUCUAGCUCAUGACUCAUGGCUUUGGCUUUAGACGUAGCUGUAACUUCGCUUACUAUGCUUAUUAUGCAAAGCAAUUAUUUUCAAGCUUCUGGAACGGGGCGUUCCUGCAUCUUCUUUUAUGGCAGAAGAGAUUAGAAAAUGACUUCUAUUGUCAAUAAUUUCUUCUUCCUUGUGAAAUGAUUUCCCGAUACAGCUCUUAAUUUCAACACCUGCUUGCUCUUCUUCUUUUCUUAGUAGACCUGGGAAGUCAAGUUUCCUAAUUAUCCACAUCAUCAAUCUCGAUCCCAUCAAAAAUGAAUUUGGUGGAAGAAAGAAAAAAAAUAAAAAAAUAUCAAUUAUUUUCAAGCUUGUGGAACGGGGUGUUCUUCCAUUUUCUUGUUUUAACUGUUUUCUUCGUAGACUUGGGAAGUCAUGUGUUAUGAACAAUUGAUUUGAUCUUGAAAAUGACUUCUUUCAAUAAUUUCUUCUUCCUUGUGAAAUAAUUUCCCGAUACAGCUCUUAAUUUCAACACCUGCUUGCUCUUCUUUUCUUAGGAGACCUGGGAAGUCAAGAUUCCAAAAUAUCCACAUCAUCAAUCUCGACCCCAUCAACAAUAGUGCCCAGCAGGAAAAAUUAGUUUCUGACGGUGAGAUGAUGCCAAAAUUGUAGUCAAAGAGACUUGGAACUCCCUGAUGAUGGUCUCUAGCUCUGGAGGUUUAUUCUGCCAAAAUUGCAUGGGCCGUUUUACAGCCUUCGUAAUGGGCUUGGCUACUUUGGGUAAUUAAAAAAACCCAAAUCGAUAAUGUUUUUUUUUUUUUCCUUUGGUAUCCGUUUAAUCAAUCUUCUGGUUUGAUCCUUGAUAGUGCUGUGUUUUGAUGCUUGUCGAUUAGCCACAAUAAUGUUAAAUUUACAAGGACAGAUCCAAGAAAAGCAAUGCAGGCCUGUAUUGGUCUCUGGGAGUCCCCUGAUAAAGGCUGCAAUCAUUGCUUGAACCCUUGUAAAGGGGCCUUUACACAUGAGGUCCACUGAAGAAGUACAACACCGUUUUUUUAUUUAAUUCUUAUGGUUUAAAUCUACUAAUAACUUAGUCAUUUUGCAUGCUAUUUUUCCACUUGUUUUGUAAAAUAGAGAAAAGAACAAAGUAAAUCUUUUUUUUUAGUUUAUGGCAUGUUCUCAAAAGUUUUAUUGAUAUUAAUUAAAUAAAAAAGACAUUGAUAUAGCUGAAAAUUGAGAACGAGAGGGAUGAUCAGGAAUGGAUUAAGCAAAAUGGGCUUGAAAAAGACCCAACAGCAGAGAAAAAUCUGAAAUAAACUCUUGAUGUUCAAAAUAGCCCACAAGCAAGGAAAAUUACCAAAAUAGGUAAAUACUGAUUAUUCAAUAAAUAAAGAAACUUCCUAGAAUAAGUGUGACAUCCUUUAAUGUUUUUACCUUUUAGAACAGUUUAUCCAGGUCGAUUCCACUUUGCUUCAACCGACCACAAUGAUCCCAUAUCCAUCUAUACAAAAAUCAAUUAAGCGGUCCAUUGACACAUUAACUUCUCUGGCUCCAUUCCGUCCUGGAUUAGCAAUCUUUCAACAUUGAGUGUUCUUCUUCUAAAAGCUACCUGAUCUUGUCAACCUAUGACAGAUCUAAAGACUUGAGAGCGGAAAGCCCAUUAAAACAUGAUAAAAUGCUUUUAUCAUUAUUAAAUCGGUUCCCACUUAGGUCAAGUACCUCCAGUUUUGAUGGUAGGACUUCGAAGCCUGGAAGAGAAACAUCAAAGCAAGAUAAUUGACAUUAAACACCGACCUUGAUUCUCAAAAUAAUAUAAAUUUAUUCUAUGAUUAUAAGAACAGAAAGAUUGAACCGACCAUGAUUCUCAAAGCAACCAACUAAUCCAUUACCGAUCAAAUCAAGACUUUGCAAUUCGUUAAAAGGCAGAAACAAAGAUGCGUUGAGAACCCAAUCCCCCAAACUCUCAUCCCUUGCACCAAUAAGAGAGAGUCGGAUCACUCGCCUUUGAGUGUUAUCACACUUGAUCCCAUACCACUCACAACAAUUACUACUGUACUCCGCCCAAUCUCUCAUGUAAAUGCUGUUUGGAUUGAUCAAAGGUUUGAUCUCCAUGAGACCAAUUCUCUCUUCCUCCAAACACCCAUAAGAACGACCACACCAUUUCGCCAUCCAAAGUCAAUAAUGUGACCAAAAUCCAAACCCACAAUAUCUUUUUCACCACCAUCUUAUAUUGUUCUAUAAACCACUACGUAGAAUUUUGUUGUUUGUUAUGUGAGUUUGGGCAACCCACAUUUGGUCCCAUUUAAAACACACUUUGGCCAUUUCCAUGAUUUUAUCUGCGUAUCCUGUGCAGGUUCCAUGAUUUUAUCGGGGAGUCAAUUUAAGUUAUUUUCCUGCCACUUUCUCAGCAGUUAUUCUCGUAGAGUCCUAUUUUGUGUUAAACGUUGGGUGCGUAUAAAGUAGUCAAAAGUAGGAUAUCCCGCUUUCUCCAUUGCUGUUCUGCAACAAUAUUUUGGUAGCCUUAUAGCACUCACUACUGGAGAAAUUGAGCUAAAGCAUAAAAUGUCAUGUACGCGGAUGCUUGACUUGCGGUGUGCCAUCUUGACUCUUAAACACCACCGAGCAGUAAUUUCAUGGUGAUUUCCUUAUUAAUACUGGUGGUCUUCCAGAAUCUUUAUCCAAACAACCCUUGCUAGACCGGGAUCGGGGUUGAUCAGGGAUAAGACUCGUGUCAUGACUUUUGAUGAGAUCACUAGGGCUCUGUUUGUUUGCAGGAAAGUGAAUUCCUUUUGGAAAGUGAAUUCCGGGGAAAGUGAAUUCCUGGAAAGUGAAUUCCGGGAAAGUAUUUUCCGAUGUUUGGUAGUGUUAUGGAAAAUGAACUGGAAAACACUUUCCAGUGUUUGGUUGUAUUAUGGAAAAUGAACUGGAAAAUAAUUUAUUAAUGAAUUAAUUUUUUUUUUAAAUUUAUCUAAUAUAUAUAUAAAAUAUCUAAUAUAAAAUAUUUAAUCACUUACAAUAAAAAAAAAUGAAAUCUAAAAUGUAUAAUGAUGAAUUUUUUUUAUUAUAUUCUAUAUUCAUACAUAGCUUAUUUUAUAAAAUAUAACUAUAUAUAUCAUAUCAUAUUAUAGAGAAAUAAGCUUGUGAAAUGUUUUUUACUAUUCCAUGAAACUAUUUAUAAUUCCAUUACGUACGAAAUAUAUCUGACAAAAAUUAUAGUUUUAAUAAUAUUUUUAGCAUGUAACAAAAUUGGAUAAAAUAUUAAGGUUUAAAAUUUACUCUAAACUAUUUUUUUUUAAUGUUAAAAAAAAUAGCACACUUAAAAAAAAAAAAAAAAGAAUCCUACAGGCAAGUGAACAGUGCAAGAGAACUGCACUGUUCACUAUUUUUCCAGUAAACAGUGUACGCAAUACACUGUUCAUGUUAAUUGCACUAUUCAUUGAACAGUGCAAUUAACAUGAACAGUUAAGAAAAAAUGGCUGCUUUUCACCGCUGGCCACUGUCGGAAAGUGUUUUCCUUUCUUUAACAAAAGAAAACACUUUCCUUUGGCAACACUGAUUUAUUUUCCAUUGACUGAAUUCAUUUUCCAUUGACUUUUUUUCUUGUUGUUGCCAAACACUGGAAAAGCAGGAAAGUGAAUUCCAGGAAUUCACUUUCCUGCAAUCAAACACGGCCUAGAUUAACUUUCAUUUUUUGCUAAUUUGGUUGAAGAAAGAAAUAUUUAGCCUGAUUUACUUCCAUAUUCAUUUUCUUUUUAAUACAUACAUGCUUGUAACAAGACAGGAUAAAAGCCAUGUAAACAAGGUAAUUAAAAAAUGUCUUCCGGCAAGUUUGUUUGUUUUUCCCCUUUAUUAUGAUAUAUAUACACGAAAGAAGAAAAUGCAUUGAUUAAAAUGCAUAGACCACCGUGUGGGCCAAUAAAAUGAAAACAAAAGACAAUAUCAAUGGUUUGCAAAAAAAGAAAAAAGAAAGUUUUCUGUUAAAUUUAUCUUUAUGUUAAUUACUUGAUUAACUAAACUUAAUCAUGUAAUAUUGAAUUAUUUGAUGAAAAACUUAUUUAAAACAGUAUUAAUUGACAUAUUUUAAAGUAAAAUAAAAAACAAACCCCGCUUACUUGCUUAUUUUUAAUGUGAAAAAUUAUUUUUUAACAUAAAUUCUUUAACAUAUUAACAUAAAAAAGUUCAAUAUAAUUAAAAUAAAUUGUGAUUAACAUGCUUUCUGAACCAAGCUUUUAUAUCUAAGAGACUAAUUCUCUCUUCCUCCAAACCACAAUGGCAAAUUGUGCCAUGAGCAGCCCUUUUGUCUUCUGGGCUGGAACAUCAGCCCAGCCCACGCGGAUGGGCUGAGUCCAGCCUUGUAGCUGGACCAAUACAGGCCCAGCCCACAUGAUUGGGUCGGGUCUGGCCCAGUUCAAUUUAAUGUUGGAACAUCAGCCCAGCCCAUGUGGGUGGGCUGAGUCCAGCCUUGUAGCUGGGUUAAUACAGGCCCAGCCCCCACAAUCAGCCCAGUUCAUUUCUUUUUUAAAAAAAAAAAAAAAAUUAUUUUCAAAGAAAUUGCAAUUUCCCCGUGUAUUUAUUUUACGUCAUUUUGAUUAAUAUUGGUCUGUAUUUUUAUAUCAUAAAGAUAUAAAUUCGGUAUUAAAAUAACCGGUUUUCAAAAAAAAAUAUUUUUGUUUUCAUACAUACGGCCUAGUUUCUCAAGGCUAAAAAUAAAUAAAAUCAUAUUGUAUCUUCAUACAACAAAGAAAACUUCAAUAUAUAUAUAUAUAUAUAUAUAUAUAUAUAUAUAUAUAUAUAUAUAUAUGUGAACAUGUGUUUUGGCUUUAAUAACCAGUUUAUUAAAGUUACGAGAACUCGGCCAAUAUUUCAAAAAAAUCAAAAAAUAUAUUUUGUUUUGUUUUAUUGUCUGGGAUUAUGAAUUUAUAUAUAAAACGUAUUCCUAAUAUUAAAAUGGUAGUUCUUUUAUAGACAUUAGAACAGUUAUGUUUUACCCCCAUAAGAUAAAAACCUCUUUACUGAGAAUGACUUUUCUUGAACCAUAGACGGACCAACAUGAUAAGACCUUAUAUUUUUUAUCAGACAGUGAAACAAUGCAACUUACCUCAGAUAGAGCGUAUUUGGGGUGUUAAUACCUUCUCUUUACGCAACCAGUCUCCGUAUCCAAUCUUUGAGACCAGUUAGGGUUUCUAGUGACUAGAAUACUAGGUGGCGACUCUCCUUCUAUUUUUUCACUGCUAAGACACAAAAAAUUCCUUGUCUCCCCAUUUUUGCUGGAAUAGAUACAAUUGCACCUAAUGAGGAGAAGUGGUGGGCGAUCAUCGCGACGCCGUACACAUGCAACACAUGUAAAACGGUUUCUAUAUAUAUAAAAGGAAGAAAGAAGAAAAUGCAUUAAAUAAAACAUGGAUAUCUUUGAAUGAAGAAAUUUAGGACACCGCUGACGUAUAUAGACAAAGUAUGCCAAGAACGAGGGGGGGCAAAAACAUUAUCAAUGGCUUGAAAGAACAAGACAAAAUAAAAUCAUUAGUUUUGAGCUUCAGAAGACAAUUUUAGCCAUUUAAUUUUGUCUUCAACUCGUUACAAAAAGCCUUGUCAUUUGAGAUUUCAUGCUUGUAAUGUUUCUGUUUUCAAUUAGUAUUACGCUUCCAUCUGUCAGAAUACUGUUGAACUUGACAAGAACUUUGAGCAAAUUCCAAUUUGAUUUUUGUAGCGAAUUAUAUCACUUAAUUGUUUGCUUAGGCUUAUUUUUAAUGUUCAAUGAAGUUUCACCAAUCAGUCAUCAAAUUCUGUAAAUGUUGCAGAUGAUUGCUAGGAAUAAAUCACAGUCAUUAAAUUUCUUCAUUUUGGUCCUUAAAUUUGUUUGCUAUGCUGUAGUUCUUUAUUUUUCGUGGAUAAAUUAUUUGGUACAGAGUUCUAAUUAAUAGCCAAAAAAGAAAAUAGCUCUGAAGAUAUCAGAACAACUGAAAAGAGAAGCAAAUAAUUGAUAAGGUGGGAGAAAAGAAUAGCAAAAUGCAUAGGCAAAUUUCUACAGUAUCAACUGACAAUGUGGAAGAAGAGAAUAUCAACCUGAUAGAUCAUAUAUGCGAGGCUUAUGUGGUUUACGAACACCUGAUUUGCAGAAGCUGGGGAUAAUGUUGAAACUCAAAUACACUCCUAUACAAUGAAAGGUUUUCUUGAAAACUAUCAUAAUUAAAGCAUAAAUUCAAUGAAAACUAAAUUUGCUGGAGGGGUUUCACAGAUUUUGACCAGAUUGAAUUUCACGAGGCGUCUAGCGUGAAUGAAUUAGGGUUUUCUUCUAGCCUUGAAAUUAUAGAGGAAUAGAGAAAAACAAAAACUCAUAUUUUUCUGAAAAGUCUAUAAUUCAAUAAUCUAAUCUUAAAACAAUACUUCAAUUGUUGAAAUAAAAGUUUUAAACCGAUCUAAUUAAAAGAAUUUAAGAUUAAGUGUGAAAAAUAUAAAAAAUACAAAAUUAUUUAGGAAAAUAAUUAAAAUAGCAAAAAUAGAAUCUUUUGACCUAACUUUGAAAAGAUCCUGUGGUGAUGGAGUCUAUAAAAUUAUCUAAUAAAAUUUAAGUAUAAUAUAAUAAUUAAAAUUAUAAUUAUAAUUAAAGCAUAAAAUGUCGUGUACGCCGAUGCUUGACUUGCGGUUUUCCAUUUUGAUUUUUAAAUACCAGAAAACGGUAAUUUCCUUAUAGAAACUGGUGGUCUCCUCGCGACCUUUUUUCUCAAAUAACUGUUGUUAGAGCAUGAUUGAAGUUAGGAUUUAACCCGUGUCAGAAACUUAAUGACUCUCCUCACUAACAGUAAUUUAUUAAAUAUUUUUAAUAUACUUAGUUCAUGUGAGGUUGUGUUUUCAAAAUCUUCCGAGAAAAAAGGACUAAAUGAUGACACACACGACAUUAAUGCAAAAAUAAAAGAUAGCACUACUGGCCAAAUUAAAUUUCACGAGAUGUAUAAAUUCAAACUAGGAUUUUCCAGCCUUUAAUACUCUAUGGAGAAAAAAACUCUAAUAUUUUUAUAAAAAGCUUAUAAUUUAAUAAUCCAAUCUUAAAACAAUAUUUCAAUUGUUGAUAUAAAAAAUUAAAACUGAUCUAAGAAAACUAAGUGGAAAAAAUAAUAAAAUAUAUUAUUUUCAGAAUAUAUUAACAAUUUAUUUCUUGAACAUGAAUACCAAGAAUAGACAGAGAGACACAGAGGAAUCAUUCACAUUUGCACUUGAAAGAAGCCAACUGUAUGCAAAGAGGGCCAAGAAGAACAAAUGAAUUAGUUUGCUGAAACAGACAAUACAAACAAAAGGAGAAGAAUGAGAAAUCAGAUGGGCAGUGUGAUGGUAUUUUCAGAACUAUGGUUGUGCCUUUUGGAAGAGAAUGUGCUUCUUCUCUGACCAUUGUGUACAAUUAUGGUCGUUGUUUCAUCAAAAUCAGAGGGCUGAUUCUGCCUUCUCCUUUACAGCUUCCAAAAGAAAAGGUGAGAAUGGGCUAUUCUUGCUUUUGAUAUUUGAAAUCAUAACAUGCUCCACUGAUUGACUUUUGGUGUAACAUUUUGAUCCUUAAACUUCACUUGGCCGUAAUUUCCUGAUGAUUUCUUUAUGGGAAACAGGUUGUCUUCUCGCAAUCCUUUUCCAAACAACCCCUGUUAGAGCAUCAUUAAAGUUUUGAUUUGUACCAUCAUCAAAAAAUGACUGUCAUCAUCAUCACAACGUACUUCCAUUUCAAUUAAUUCUUUAUAUUAUAACGCAGCAGAACAUAAAAUAAUGGGUGAAGAUAUUUUAGCUGAUAAUGGGUGAAGGGAUAUUUUUUUUCUAAUUGAAAACGACUUGUCAGCUUUAGAAAAUGCAUGCAGGGCCCAGUUUAAUUUCAAUUUCUCAUACUCUCGUUAAUGCAAGUUUGGACAGCUUGGGGAUGUGUCGUCCAUCCGGUUUCCUUUUUUGAUCGGGAGUCAAUGGGAUUAGUAAUUGACACUUCAUCAUCAAAUCAAAAUUAAAAAUGUUAAUGAACUCACAAUUAAUUGCCAUUAAGCUCCAUUGAGUGUAAACAAUGAAUUUAUAAAAUAGUCAAAAGUGGGAUGUCGUGAUUUCAACAAUGCCGUUUCAGAAAAUUGAUAGUCAUGAUGAAAAGAAGAAGACAGAAUUGUUGAGUUGAAACGUGAACGUCGUGUUCUCCUGAUCAAUUGUAUAGUGAAGAUGGUGGAACUGAUGCGGGUGCAUAGCACCAACCAUUACUUCCCUAAUGAUUUCCUUGCGGAAGAAAUUAUUACAUUUUUAAAGUUAAAAGUGCUAAAGCACAAUUCAAAGAAAAUAAGCAGUACUAAACUUAACAAGCUAGUUCAAUGGAGGAGAAUGGUGUGCUGAAACACUAUGAUUUUCAAAAAAAUUGAAGCAUAUCAGAUCCAUGCUGCUGCAUUCGCAAGAAACGAGCACCCAUCAACAAUGUGCUAAAUGUCAAUGCAGAGCUUUAAAUCAUCUACAGAGGCUCAUGAAGAAAAUAGGCAUAAAUGAUAACAGAUAACACACCAGAGCACUCUACGUAAACUGAUAUCUUUAGAAAAUUCAAAGGCAUGAAUGAAAAAGAAAAGCUAGAAAUAUCUAAGUCAGCUCUUAAUUUGUAACAGUCCACAACUUCAUGUUUGGUGUGUACUGUAAACUAUGCUCUCCACAUAAUCAUGAGCUUCAUCUGCAAAAAACCAUUUUCACUUCUUGGGACAAGGGAUCAAAAAAAUACAAACCUGUUGUUGGAUUACAUUCAUAAUUUAUAUCAAGCACUAGAUGCUGCUCGAAGGAAGUCCUUCAAGGAAAAAAAUCAGGAACAAAAAUGCUGAGAGGUCCAUCUUGGAGGUCAGAAAGCUGGAGUUCUACUAGAAGAAGAUACCUCUGGAGAGAGAAAUAAAGGAAGCCUGAACUGCUUAGAGUUUUCUUACCGAAGCUUCAAGUUAAGAUCAUUUUCAUUUCAAUUUGGAUGUAGAAAUAAUGAUGGGAUGUGAAAAUUAUAUUUUCAUUUCAGAGAGCUGGUUGAUUAUAUUUUGAAAAAGGGUAUAUAUGAAAGUUAAAUCCUCUGUUCAAAUGAACAAAGGGAUCAACUUGAGCAAGAGUCAACAAGCUAUCCUUCGAGGUCAAUGGAACAUACCACUCAUAUUAAUCUUCUACUAUUUAGGGGAAUUCAUACAUCCACUCAUCUUAAGCUGGAAAACUUAUGGAAAGCAUUCGCAAUUGUUUCCAAUGUAUCGACUGUAAUCAAUCAAUAGAUCAUCAACUAUUGUCCUCAUUGAAAGUUUCCUGCUCCCUAUAUAGAGAAUGUCUGAUUAAUUUCAUUAAAUAUGCAUGAUUCCACUGUAUGUUAGCUAACCAAAAGAGCCUACAGGCCAAAUAAACAACAGGAAUAAGAGAAACUACUUCCAACGCCAUCAUUUCUCCUUUCUAGUAUCAUCUUUUGUUUAAUGUUUAAUGCUCGUAGCCUCUGAGCACUCCAAACUAAUUUUUAAAAUAAAAUAUCAAGAGAUGGCAGAAAAUGAAUGUGCUCAUCAACUAUUUUCCUCAUUGAAAGUAUACUGUGGUAUUUUAAAUUGCUCCAGUUUUUAAAAAAUAGAAGGCCACAGGCCAAAGAAACAACAGGGAUAAGAGAAACCGUUUUUUAUUUGAGAAAAUACGAUACUGCAAACUAUUUCUUAUGAAUAAAUCCCGUAUUACAAGAAGCCAAGAAUUGGUUGGUUGCUCAGCACAACAUAACUCAACAUAACUGAUACAAACAAUUACUGAUACAAGCACAAGGACAAACACAAGUCACAUCAAAAUAGAAAGGCUAAGCAACAAGAACACUUCUCACAGGCAAAUUGCUAAACAUGCAGUGAGCAACCAUUGAUUUGGAAUGCGACUGCUUCUCCACAGAGGAUUGCAACAAAUUCAGAAAGCAGCCCACACGCUCCUGAUAAGAUCCAAUCACCUUCUGAAUCUGGACAACUUGGGAAAGUUAAUUGCCAAAAAGCAGCAGCAAGUGUCAAUGCAUUCUUCAAUGAAGUAAAACCACCUGCGACGCCAAUGCGGAUUUAUGCACAGUACUGCUGCAAUUGUCAACACCACAGUUAUGUAAAACACACCAAAGCUGGCAUAGAAACUGUCCAUGUCUAUGAAGCCACCAUCUCCAUUGAAAUCAUUAGGCACUCUCGCGGAUGGUGAUUCUGUUUUGUCGCAACUAUUUUGCAAUGGAGGUCCACAAAGAAGAGGAUUCCCUUUAUAACUGCUUUCAUCAAAGGUACCAAAUUGAUUUUUCAUCUCCGGUGUUCUUCCUGACAAAUUAUUGUACGACACGUUAAAAACUGCUAGAAAGGUCAGUUCAACGAGUUGUGCAGGAAUUCUCCCAUUCAAAUUGUUGUGAGAAAGAUCCAAGCUCUCUAGCUGCUUCAGAUUGAAGAAGGAUGAAGGGAUCAAUCCAGUGAGAUUAUUUUGUGACAGAUUUAGAGAAUGUAUCCCACUUAAGUUUCCCCAUUCUAUCGGGAUUUCUCCAGUGAAUCUGUUACAAGAAAGAUCCAAAGCAGACAUGUAACGAAGGAUUUCGCCUUCAUAAGUGUAGAAGUUUUUCUUUGUUGUAAGCUCUACAG
Molecule: long non-coding RNA, 49838 nt
Filed under: Populus tremula
Lineage: Eukaryota; Viridiplantae; Streptophyta; Magnoliopsida; Malpighiales; Salicaceae
Description: long non-coding RNA (PTRE_LNC002436)
Source: RNAcentral